RNAcentral lists this long non-coding RNA (57106 nucleotides) under Populus tremula. RNAcentral describes it as "long non-coding RNA (PTRE_LNC001524)". Lineage: Eukaryota; Viridiplantae; Streptophyta; Magnoliopsida; Malpighiales; Salicaceae. The record is from RNAcentral.
AAAUUUAAGGUAAUUAAAAGAAAUCUAUCAUUCCCUUUUCUAUAAAGUUGCAACAUGGACACAAUGUGGAUGUGAAAGUUUUUGCUAUACUAGAAUAUAUUUACUUCAAUCACCUGAUUAGCUUCUUACGUGGACCAAAGCAACUAGAAUAUAAUUUGACUUGGAUGCCACCUAAAGUGAAAUGUGAAUGGUUCUUUAAAUGGCUAACCAAAACCCUCUGGUAUUGAUGGAUUUUUAAGAGAUGAUGAAGAAAGAAAUUUUUAAAAAUGAGUAUUUAUACCAAAUCUAUAAUUUUUUAAGAGAUCAUGAAAGAAUGUUUUCUUUUAUUCUAUAGGUUAUGACAAUUAAAGAAUCUUUUUAAAUGAGUAUUGAUUGUUCCUAUAUUUGCAAUUACUAGAAGCUUGAUUCUUCUUUAUCUCUCUAUACGACCCAUGACCAAUCGUUUUCUUUUGAAGUUAGAUUUGUACUCUUGAGGAUGGAUGAAGGAAUGGGUAUACACAAGAGUUAAAGGUUGACAACACAAGUAGUCAAUAUUAUAAAAAAAAUUGAGGAUAAAGAGCGAAACCUCAUUCUACAAGCCAUUGGUGCAACCAAUGAAAGAUGGGAGCAAAGAUGAUGAUGUUCUCAUGGAUCAUAAAUGUAAUAAGAUUUUGAAAAAUUCAUGGAUUGUAGAUUUUGCAUGCUCCUUUCAUAUUUAUUUAAAGAAAGAAUGUUUUGAUACUUGCAAAGAAUAUGGAGUAAUGAAAACCCUUUGUGAUGUUAGUCACAUGCCAAGACUUCAAAGAAAGAAAGAAAGUUUCUGAAACCGAAAAUCUUACCAUUUUGCGAACUUCUGCUUCCUGCGAUUUGUUCCAUACACCUCUCGCAGCAUCAUCCUCAUGCCUGGUAUCGAUUCGCUUGCUCUGAUCAAGGACAAGCAAAGACAGCAUUCAGUUUUUGAAAUGUUUCAUUUUCAUUUUUUGCAAGUAUAUAUGAUGAUUAAUUUGGAGUAUGAUCCCUCGUGAUGUUCAAGAGCAAUUACAUGCCCAUUGACACCUUAAGGUCAGUUUUUCGAAAUGGCUCAGCAUAUAAGCAUACCAUUCCAUCUGACUUUGGUGCUUCAAAGCGUCCGCCUCGCAAUAAUUUCGCAACAACACCAGAUGGUUUCAACUUUUCAUUAUUAACAAUCAUUUUAUCCACCCGCAUGUCACUCACUAGUGCCUGCACUAUCUCAGAGCAGCAAUACAUUGCAGCCAAGUGCAAAGGUGUAUUUCCAUCGCAAUCCUUCUCAUUUAUAAGUGCUUCCAGAUCUUGAUUUCUCAAUAUUUCAUCCACUAUUUUCAUCUGUCCACUCCCCGCUGCAACAUGAAGAAUAUUCUGUCCUUUUUCGUUGAGAAAAUCCAUUGGAUCGAGCCAAAAAAUAAGUAGUUCGCGUACUACUUCAAGAUGGCCCUUCUGGCAUGCAACAUGGAUGGGUAAGUUGCCUUCGUCGUUUCUUUGUGAUGCGGCAACAGGACAUCGACUAACCAGGAGUCCUGCUCCAGAAAGGAAGCCCAUUGAUGCUGCAAGAUGAAGGAGAUUUCCCCCUUUUUUGUCCUCGGGAAGCAUUAUAUCCGGCUUGCCGACCGCUAGUUUUUCUAGUGCAGCAUAAUUUAAAAAUUAGAUAAUCAAUACAAAAAACACAAAAUGCAUGGAAAUAACUUGAAUUUUAUGCUUUACAUAAAAUGAAAUAAUGAAGAAUCAGUUUUAAUGAGACCAAUAAUUAUAAGUGUGACAUGUUAUUUUUCACGUUGAAAUGAUGAAAACAUGUGAUUACCUAAAUUUCCUUCCGGCAUAGCUUCUAUAAAAGAAGCAAUCAUCUCCUCGUCGCAACUCUCUACUGCCAAGUACAAGGGAGACUUGUCUUCCUUGUUCUUGUGGUAGGAAACUUCUAGGUCUUCAUAAAGGAGGAAACAGGCCACCUCUCGGCAACCCUUGAUGACUGCAUCAUGCAAAGGGGUGUUUCCUUUAUUAUUCUUCAUCCUUAGCAAGCUAGCAAGUUCAAGUGUUCUAUGAUGAAUUUUCACAUGGUUGACGAGAAUUUGAAUUGUGUCAGACUGUCCAGCCCUGGCAGCCAGAUGAAGCGCAUUAUCACCCAGGAAAUUUUCCCUGGUGAUUAGGAGGGGGAAGUGAUGACACAGUAGGUGUGUCACAUCUUCGCUUCCAUGGCUUGCUGCAACAUGAAGCAGUGAAUUUCCAGAGGCAGCAACAUGUUUGAAAAUGAUAUUGAGCACUUCCUCUGAUGAAACAUGUUCCAGUUUAUCGGACAAGAGACCGAACAGGGCAUUGAAGUUGUCUUCCUUUGCAUAGGUAUAAACCUCCUUCUGCAGUAUUUUAUUUGGCUCAGAAAAACCAUAAUCUGCAAUCGGAACUGGGAAUUUAACUGCCUUCCAUCGUUCAAGCUCCUCAUUUACUGGUCUCGGCAUAUCUAUUUGUAAUUGCAUAGAGAGUUGCAACGUGCUGGAAGAUUGUAAUAUGUCGGUUGAGUGCUCGAUCUCUUCUUGAGUGACUUAACUUUGCUGCGGUUGUAUCUGUGGUAAUUACAUGUCUUGUUAUUUGGCCAAGCAAACUAAAGAAUUCAUAGAAAACAUGACUGCAAGAAAUAUGGUAAUUAAAGUAUUAGUGAGAGAAAACGUACAUUAGCUACAUAAUUUCUCGAAAUACAAUUAUUUAGGAGCAUAAUGUCAAAAUUAAACUGUUAACGCGUUGUCGAUUUUUUCAAGUAAAAGUUUUUUUUUAUAUUUACAUCCAAAAAUAACUACGGGUUUGUGUAUUGUAUUUAUAAAUAAAAUAAUAUUUUACGACUUUUAAUAUAUUUUCUAAUAGUAUUAUAUAAAUUAAUAAACUAUAUGCACAAAUAUAUCAAAUUAAUAUAAUUGUUUUUAGCCGCAAACAACUGAUGCCAGUUUGUUAAGAAGAAUUUGAAUAGAAUCUUAAAAAAUAAUUCUCAUAAUAUAUGAAGGAGAAAAUAAUACAUAGAUAAAAGUCAAUUCUCUCCAUAAUAAAGAUCAUUCUCAAAAUGCACACUCCAAACACACUAAAGCAAAAUGAAAGGUUUAAUCAUCAUACAAUCCUGACAUAAAAAAAGAAGUCAGACCAAUCCCUCGUAUCCAUACACUCUAAAUUUUGUGCCAAUAACAAAAAAACUAAAUGCAAAAUCUAUAAAUAGUUUUUUUUUAAAAAAAAAAAACAGUGAAUAUCUUCUCUUUUGAAGAAUGAGAGAUAGAGUGUACAGUGUAGGAAAAAUUAUAAUUAACCUAAAUACAGGGAUCAUACCUCCUUUCUCUUGUUUACGAAGACGUUUCGGGUAUUUUUCAUGCACUUUCGAUGAAUUGCAAAAAAAAAAAAAAACCCGAACAAAUUUAAACUGAGAUAUUGACACCAAAAAAGAAAAGAAAAAGAAAACACCGAACCAUUACACUAAUCAUGAGAUUCCAUGUUAAAAUGAAAAGGAAAGAAUAUAUAAGAAAAUCAAUUCUGAAGGAGAACCAUAUAAAUGUGUACCUGUAUAUUAGUGUAAACUGAGAGAGAAGGAGCGUGAAGGGAGAUGACGAAGAAGACCAGUUUCCUGCAUGCACAAGUACUUUCCCUGCCAAUAAUUAGACAAAAUUAAGAGACUUGUGCAUACCGAGAGGUUUUUUAAGCUCUAAGAAACAAACUCCUUAGGUAAUAAGGUUUCUAAAAAAGAAAAAAAGGUUUCUUUGCUUUUCACUUUUCUAUUUAAAAGAGAGUGUGCUGAACAAGCAACACGUUGGCAUCCAUUUCAAGCUUUAAAAUUAGAAAAUGUGAUUUUAGAUAUAUAUUUUUUUAUUUUAAAGUAUUUUUUAUUUAGAAAUAUAUUAAAAUAAUUUUUUUAUUUUUUAAAAUCAAUUUUUAUAUCAACGCAUCAAAAUCAUCUUAAAACACAAAAAAAUAUUAAUUUGAAAUAAAAAAAUAAAAAAAUUUUAAUUUUUUUAAAAAUAUAAUUUUAAAACACAAAAACAAAUAUUACUGACUGAACUCAAAUUUUUUUGGAUGCAUAUAGUACUUUUUUCUUUUAGAAUCUUUUCUUUUCUAUUUAAAAGAGAUUGUGAUGAACGAGCAACACAUGUUGUUUUAAUAAUCCUUUUAUAAUAUCAAGCUUUAAAUUUGACAAAUUUAUAAAUUAGGUUUCUCUUAUCAUUAAUCCGAAUUCCUAAUAAUUUUUAUUCAAAUUUGACCACAUCUUUUGUUCAUUGUAGCAUUAAGCUUUGUUGAACAUCAAUUACUAAUCAUACCUGAAUUUAAGCCAUUCAAAUAGCUACCAUCGCCGCCCUGCGGUCACCAAAUCAAACGUACAUCAUACCUCUAUUUUCUAUGCUUUUAUUCAGUUUUGUAAUUGCUUGCUUCCAGUUCUUGUGCUUAGAUACUCUGUUUGCUGAUUAAGUUACAUAUUCCCUGAUCUUUUGUUUGCGGAUUCGAUUUUUAUCCCAAUUAUUUUUAUUUUUCCAAUGAAAACUUUCAAUGAACAAGUUUCUCAUCAGAUAUUUGUGUUUCAUCGGUCAUUCCAUCAUAAACUUUUUUUUUUUUUUUUUAUGGAAUGACCAAUAAAAAUAUUCAUGCUAAAAAAUUAGAUUUUAUCACCCAUUUGUCAUCGGGAAGUCCGUCCAAGAAAAGGAGCAAAUAUUACCGCUGAAAUCAUGGAUAAAAAUACACUUUAAUUUCCAAUGGAAAUUCCUUCAUCAAUUCCAUUGGAAAUACCUAAACUUUAUGUAAAUUUCGAUGAAAUGUGAGUAAAUAUUGCCGACAAAAAUGCAAUUUUUUUGGUGAUUCUGUUUGUGUUCCAUACUUUUUUUAUGUUGUUUAGUUUUUAUAAUCCCAAAUGCAUUUUUUAUUAACACUAAACUCAUAACAACAAUAAUAAAAUUAAAAAUAUUAUAACAAAAUUCCAUACAUAAAAAUUUUGUAAAUAACAUAUUAAAAUUUUUAAAAAGUUGGAGGGGGUGAAAAAAAUCAUGAUCUAUAAGCUCCACGAGAGGGAGGAAAAUAUAAAGCCAAAUACGCACGUAUUUACUCUCAUUUUCUAUUAUUUCUUGUUUGAUUUUUGCUCUUAUUUCUUCUAUUAGUUCUGCCAUUAUUUAUGCUCUUAUAUUAUGCAACUCAAUAGCCAAUUGUUAUGGAAUCCUAUCUCAAACCAUCUCCUUAAUGGCCGAUGAUGUCUGGUUGAAGUUGGAAUAUUGUGUGCCUACCAUUAAAACACUACGAAUCACCCUUGUAUCUUGGUCAAUGCUAUAGGCAUACCACAAACUAAAUUCUUAUCAAGUCUAUUAAUUGUGUUUUUCAUGUUUAACAGCCAUGUUGGCAUUAUAUAUAUUUGUCAAAACAAAACAAAAGGUCAAAAUCCAAUUAAACUUAAAAAAAAAAUAGUAAUACAAUUAUAACUAUCCAAAAAUACUUACAAUGAACUCUUUUACUGUUUCACUGUAUUAUUGAUAAACCUUUUUAUCUUUUUUGCUUAUCUUCUUUUCUUAUAUGAGUUUCCUAAUAUAAUUCCAUUGGAGUAUGUUCGCACCAAAACUGUUUUUCCUAUACAAUAAAUAGUUUGUAAAAAAGUCUCAUAAAUAAAAAAUAAAUUAAUAAUUAAAUAUAUAGCAAUGCUCUUAUUAGGCUAUUUGCAUGGUUCACCAAGGAAAGUGUUCUUCAAGUGUGCAUGCUCAUCAAACCAUGAAUUUUCUUUUUUCCUUUUGUUUUGAGACCUAGAUUUUGAGCACUUUUUAAAACCAUAUGAUGCCAAAACUUCUUGAAACUUAGCCCAAUUACUCUUUGUGACGUGUCUCGAUCAUCUAAAAUUUUUCCACAAUACUAUGUCAUCAAAGUUGGCUCUGUUCAUUGAAUAUCUAGAAACAUCAUGCCACAAAUCACGCAACCUAGUAUAGUAAUUUGAUAAACAAAAUUAAGAUAAGGAAAUGAAAUAUUAUAGUUUUACAAUAAUAAUUGUUUUUUGCAUUAUACUUACCUAAUUACAAUGUGGUUUUCCCACACAUUUCUUACAACCCCCUCAUUUUCCUUGUCCUGGUAAUUUUUUUUUCCUUGUAGUCAAACAUUAGUUAUUUUUAAAAAUUUUAAAAAACUAUAUAUUAACUCAAAGUAUAUAUUAUUUAUUUAACCAUUAACUUUUCCCAAAAACAUCUACUAUAAUCAUACAUUUAGAAUGAUCUUAAAGUUGACUCUAUUAAAACAAUGGUUUUUCAAAAACAAAUUUAAGAUUAAUUGUAUUAAAGAGAAAAACUAUAAAAAAAAAAACACAAAAAGUGUACCUAAGAUGUACAUCAUCUUGUAACCCAAAUCAAACUGACCUUAGACAAUAGGGGAAAAAAAAAAGCUAAAAAAAAUUAAAAAUUUCUGAAAAUAAGACUGCUUGAAUAAUAGCAUAGAAAAUCAAUUCAUCAAAAUCAUUUAAUGUAAAACUUAAAAUAAUCUAUUACAAAUAAAUAACUUCAAUGGUGAGAUAAAAAACAUGACUUACAUUGUGUCGUUGGCUUUUUAUGUUGCAAUAAGUUUUCUUGAUACAGGGUCUCUAGAAGAAGGGAUUCUACCUUUUUUGUUUGUGAAAUUCAUUGUUGUAAAUGAGAUCAUUGCAUAAUUAGUUGGCAUCAAAGGACAUAAUAAUCUCUCUCUUUGUAUGAUUAAUAGAAAUGAUACUGUGAAUCUGUAAAUUAUGCCAGAAACGCUUUAUUCUGUUUCUAAAGGACUCGAGGCUAUUGCGCUAAGCGUUGAAGUGCCUAUGUUCAGAAUCAUUUUAAAAUUACCUGCAUUAUUGCAUUUUUGUUCCACUAGAAAUUGUUUCUGAUGUUUUCGACAUUUACAAAUAAUGCAAGGUCCUAUCCUGGUACUGCUACAUCUGCUUGGUGUCGCCUUGUUAAGUUAACUGGGUAUUUGCAUAAUGUUUCCAGGCUGAUGCUUUUGAAAGCCAGCGUGGACAAUGCAUUGAUAUCACCUGGAAAGUGAUAAUUUAUUUAAAUAAAACAGACUUUACCAAGGUGGUGGAAACAAUGCUAUACAGCCCUGACAAAUAAAUGUAUAAAUGACAUGCGAGAGUUAAACUGGUUUUGCUUACACCAUUGUGCAUAGAACUGCUUAUUUCCUUUUCUGAAGAAUGUUCUUUGUACGCUUAAUUGAACUAGUCUCUUUAAGUGUUCAAUGGUUCUCACCAACCAUUUGUCAAAGAAAUAAAGAAGUCUGUUAAUUUUAUUGGUUUGCCAUUCCAACAGGGGCUGGAUCCCCUUUAAAUUGUGCAUGCAACUUGUUAGCAAACCUCUUAUUUUGGUAGGCAGAGUUUAUCCGUGUUGUGACUUCAGAUAAUAACAAUGACUGAUUUGGUCAAUCUCUCAAAAAGUUUUCUGUAUUCCCGAGAGUAAUAAUCCUAAUCAUCAUUUUAGGUUAGUUGACAGAAUAUCUUUCUUGGUUAUUUCUUAGUUCAUAUGAACCAAACCUGCCUCAUUCCUCCCCUCAUGCGAGGUAGUUAAGUAGUGUAUGAGCCCUAGUACUGGUUUCAAGAUAUGACUUAUCACUGUGUAUAUGUCUGUAGUUAGUUUAGCUGAGAGUUCAAACAAGUGUUUAUGGUGUUAAACGUUUUUCAAUCAUAAAUUGUUUUGCAGAUAUAAUUGAUGAAUUGGUGAAGAAUGGGAAAGAGAUAAGGCUGUAUAUUUUGCUUCUGAAUCUGGUUUGACGAAAAGAUUUUCUCCUGUAUCUCUACUCAAGUCAUAUCUUAAGAAUUCCAAGAAGAUCACAACUACUGUCUUGAAGAAUGGCAAUUAUAGUGUAGCUGCAACGGUGUGUCUAAUCUCUAUCUACAUUGUGUAAUUCUAAUGACAUGAAAUAUUUGAGUCUUAUUAAUUUUUUUGCAGGAUGAGUCAAGUACCUUGGAGGGUGAAUUCUAUUAAAGCAAUCAUCAAAUGUGUGGAAGAUCAUAAGCUUGAAUCAGAAUUUUCCCUUGACAGCUUGAGAAAACGGGCUUCUCUGCUUGAAAAAAACAAAGCAGAGAGGAAGAGGGGUACGUCAGCUGCCACUGCUACCAAGUCUCAAAACAAGCGAGGCCAUGGUUCAGGUGGUGGCCGGGACAGUGGACCUACUCCUUAUCGACAAGCCAAAGCUGCCAAAUUUUCAAACAAUUAUUCCUCUUUCAGCCGCAGGAAUGCUCCUCUCCCUGCACAGCAUAGCCCGGCUAGAAGAUAUUCAGGGCCAUUCCACUACCCUAGCCAGAGUGUCUACGAGGGCCCCGCAGCAGCCCCGUAUGCAUCAACUUAUGGUAUCUCGCACGCUCAAAGCCCUUCUGCAAUCUCUCAACAACCCUACCAUCACUCUCAAAGCCCCAGUGCAAUUCCUCAACAACUCUACUCACAGCCAGCGGAGAACAUGAGUGCUGCCGGUUUCCGUGCCAGUGGUUCUUAUGGAAGCCAGACCGGUUACGGGGCAUAUGAUUACGGCUCUGCUGCACCCGUUACUUACCAACCUUCAUCCUACACUCAAUAAGAUGGGAGGAACCUAGCCAGGUGUUAAGAUUCUUAUUUUUAUUUGGUGUCUGAUUUCUGGAUGUGGCCCUCUAAUUUUGGGACCCGCCCCCUUCAUCUCCCUUUCCCGUAUAAAAGUUUUUUUUUGGUCUUAUCUCAUGACUGGAUAUGAUGCCCAUGCCUGUAACGCUGAUUACCUUUAUAUGGAGCUCAAGCUGGAUGUGAUUUCCGUGCUGUGAGUUUUAAAUGGUUUGGCUAUCGAGCAUUGUAUUCUUUCAACUUCUUUCCUUGAUUGGAGUCGCCAUUGGGUGCCUAUGCUUGUGUUUUUGCCAAAUUUUGGUUAAUCAAACCAAUUUCAUUUGCUGCUUGCACUUUUUUAAGAAGGAAGAAAUGAAUAACAAGGAACAUGUUAAUUAAUAGGACUAACUUGUUAAAAUCACAACAAUUUAGUAAUCAUGCUAAAAAUCCAAUUUAGUAAGAACAUGGCUAUAAUGGGUAACAAUUAUCUAGUCCUUGUAAUUGAUAGACAUCAUUCUUUUGGCCACUAGGUCUGAAAAUAACUCACAAACAUUCAGACCAAUGGAGAAACUUGUAUUAGAUGUUCUAUAAAAUGGUUAUUCAUCAUCUAAUUCUCUACAUAAACAAAUAACUACAUAUGGUAAUCAAUAACACCAUUUAGGCUUUCAUUGAUUAGCUCAAUCAAAACUAAAAUGAGCUCAAAUAAAGUUGACCAAGCACUUGUUUUUGUACUGUUUCUUAGGAGACAAGUCUUAUGAUAUCCUUUAAUAAUAAGCACUCUAAUAAGAAUAUUUGGAAGUAGUCAUAUUCUAAGUAUUACAUGUCCACAUAAUAAUAAUUUCAACAUAAUUUGGGUACACACUUCCAAGUGAUCAGUUAAUGUUUAAUUUUACGAUAAAAUAUUUCAUUUUAUUAGUUUAGAGCAAUUAAGGCUUUUGGAAAUAAAAUUAAAUCCUUAAAAACUUGUGAACACCUUUAAUUUUGUCCCAUUGAGGACUAGUUUCUAAUUUUAGUUGUAGUUAUUUUUUAUUUUAAUUUGGUUUUUCCAUAUAUUUUUUGAAAAUUGUCUUGAUAGUUUUUAUUCUUAGAUAUAAUGGUCCAUAAUAUGAAGACAAAGGUCUAGUGCUUGAUUGAUGUUCAAUUUUAUCAAAAUAUGUUUAAAUUGAGUUGACUUAAAGCAAUUAGGGUUUAAAGGACCAAAUUUGAUUAUGAAAUAAAUAUGAGAGACUAAAAUUAAUGAGUAUAGUUAAAAAGGUACAACAGCUUUGGCAGCAUAUGCAACCUUUUCUAGCGGCCAACCCACCCUUCCACGGUGGCGAUCGAUGUAUCUUAGAAUUCUUUUCUUGCAAGGGUAAUUAACACAUGUAUUCUUAUUCUUGGUGGUGUGUCGUUAGCGUUAUUUUUUUAUUUUAUUUUAUUUAUAUUUUUCCUCUCUUUUCUUUAAAAUUCAUGCUAGCCAUUUCAAAUUUCGUAGUUGUCUCCUUGUUUUAGUAUUAUUUCAAAUUCGAAUCUUUUUUUAUUACUAAGUUUUUGUUCUAGAUCUUUUUUUAAAAUGUAAAAUUGUUUUCAAUUUUCUCAUUCAAUAAAAAAUUACAAGUUGUCCUUUUUUUUAUUUUUAAAAUUUGGUCCAUAUUUUUUUAAUUCCUAUUUUUAGUUUUUGAUCCUAUAGUGAAAUUAAAUUUUCCUUUCAUUUUCAUCAUCUAAUUUGUUUUUAUUUCUAAUUCUAUUCUUAUUCUUUUGGUUGGCCUUGAUCUCUUUUUCUGUCCUUCUAGGGUGCUGUAAUCACCAUCAACAAAGUGGCCUUUUAAGGAAGAAGUGGCUCAAAUUGUUUAUAUAGUUGGGUUACAUUUUAAUAUAGUCAUGUAUUUGAAAAAGUAUUUAGUUAAUUAAUAUAUAUAUAUAUUACUAAAAAUUCUUUUAAAAUUUUAAUUAAAAUAUAAUAUAAUUUAUAACUUUUUUUAAAUGUAUUUUUUUAAAUCACAUAUCUAUCACAAAGAAAGAUCUUUUCAUAAAUCCCAACUUUCGCAAGAAUAUUAAUCAUGAGUCCUUACAUGUCCUCUUCCUUGUUGAAUUCUACGGCCUUCGAAUGUCAUGUCUAUGCCGAUUUACUCGGGUAUUUCUUUAUGCAUGCAUGCAAAAUAAUAUAAUAAUUAAUUAUUAGUUUAUAGAGGCUGAUAAAUAAAUAAAAUAUAUAGUUUAUUGAGUUUCCAAAACAAAACAAUCGCAUCUUGUGGUCAUCAACCAAAUCUAAUACUGUUUGGGAAAACACUGUUCAUGUAGAUUAAUAAGUACUAUUUAUUAAAACAAAGUAUUAAUGAUAGUUUUGCUUUUCUCGUAAAAGAAUUUGAACCAGUUAUUUAAGAUACUUUCACAAGUUUCAUUUAUUAUUAUCAAGUCAAAUUAAUAAGUGUUUUUGUAUUUUGAAAUCAUAGUAAAAUAAUUAAAAUAUGUUUACAUGUAAAAAAUUAUAAACUAAUGUCCAAGUGCUUUUUAGUAUUUUUACACUAGUUUUUUCAUUAUUAUUAGGUUAGUUGAAGGAAAAACUAGUAUUUUAAUAAAUAAAAAAUAUUAUUUAAAAACAAAAAACGACUAGCCUAUGUAAUGCUUGUGCAAGCAUAUAAGCGGCGCUAGCUACACUCAAGUGGCAUCUCUCAACGAUCAAACAUUAGUUUUUGCCAUGUCAUUGGAAGCACUGCAACAUACUCUUCCUUUAAGAACGACACAUGGUGUUAUUGGGGUGGCGGUGUGAUGUUGGUGACUUUUUUUUCUUCUCAUUCCACUUUACUCUUUCCUCCUCUUGAAAAUCGUGUUGGCCAUGCGAAAUUUCAAAGUUGUCAUCUAAUUUAUUGAGAUGUCAAAUUUAUUAUUUAUUAUUUUGAUUUAUUAUUUUUGUUUUUGGUUAUUUUGUGAAAUUUUGAGUUAUUUUUAAUUUUAUCUUUCAAUCUCAAUUUGUGAUAUAUUAUGUUUUUUUUCAAUUUAGUCUUCAUUCUUUUGAUAGUUUUAUUUUGAGUCCUUUUGUUAAAUUGAAUUUUCUUUUCAAUUUCACCCUUCAAUUAAAAAUAAAAUUUAUUUUUUUUAUUUUAAUUUUGAUCCUCAUUCCUUCAAUUACUAUUUUUUUUUUUCUAAAUAAUUGAUUUUUCUUUUUUUCAUUUUUAAAUUUUAUCAAAAACGCACGUGAUUAGUUGUUGUCAAACUAUCUAGUGCUAAGAAUUCGAAAGUCAAGUACCCUGCAAUAUGAAAGAACUCUGAAAACACACACCAGAGACAUGCAUGUUCUGCUUUAUAUUUAACCAAAGUCGUUACAAGAGAGAGGAGAAAGAGCUUAUCUAUUUGUUACAAGAGAUACAAAUUACAUGAGAUUUAAAUACCCUCCAGUUUGAACUGGAUGUGAUCCUAUUCUCCACCCAUAAAAAUUAUAAGGAAUUUAAUGGGAUUUGCAAGCAGGACAGACAUUACUGAAAAUCUAGAGUAACAAAGUACUUGCCAAUAAUAAAAAGAGGAUUGGAAUGUGAUGAUGGUUAUGAAAAAUCCAGUACGUUCUUGCACCGUGAUUGCCAGGAUGAAUGUAUAUGCUAAACCCAUGAAGGAAAGGCCACAUAUGAUACAAUAUGUCGCCAUGUCCAUGCUUAUUCUUACAUUACCGGUACGACCUAAUGAUAUCCGACAAAGGAUUAUAGCGGCGAUGAGGGAGAAAUUCAUAGCUAGCAUGUCAAAAAAAAUAUAAGCUCUCAUCAGAUAUUUUGAAGUACCACUGCUAAGAUCAGAACCUGAUCCAGGCACAGUGAUAGCACCAGCGAAGGUUACUCCAGCUACCAGUACUGCCACCACGAGAAGAUUCCCUACCCCUCUGUUCCGUUCCUCCGUCGUUAACGUCGUUCUUGGUGAAUCAAAGAUAAGAUUGAUGCCAAACUCAUUCUUAUCAUCUUCCUCCACCAAAACUUUUAAUACCUCACGCUGAACAACAAAAUGUUAAUUAGAAAAUAUAUGGUAAACAAAUUAAUUAUAUAAAGCAUCAUGACAAUGUUAUCUUAAUAUCCCAUAAUAACGAAGAAGUAACUCAUCGCAAUAUAUUUAGUAGAUCAGCGAGGCAUUCCAUAUUUUUGAGCAAGUAAAGAACUUUAUUUCCACUUUGGAUUAAUCAAAUUUUAGGUAAUUAAAAGAAAUCUAUCAUUCCCUUUUCUAUAAAGUUGCAACAUGGACAGAAUGUGGAUGUGAAAGUUUUUGCUAGACUAGAAUGUAUUUACUUCAAUCACCUGAUUAGCUUCUUACGUGGACGAAACCCUCUGGUAUUGAUGAAUAUAAAAGAAUUAAAUGUGACUGAGGUUUUGAAAAUUAAAAAAUCUUUUUAAAUGAGUAUUGAUUGUUCCUAUAUAUGCAAUUACUAGAAGCUGGUUGUGAGUAUAAUGCCAUUACUAGAAGCUUAUUGGCAUAUGGAAAAAACUAGAGAGUAUUUAUGCUUCUAGACCCAUGACUAAUCGUUUUCUUUUGAAGUUAGAUUUGUACUCUUGAGGAUGGAUGAAGGAAUGGGUAUACACAAGAGUUAAAAGGUUGACAACACAAGUAGUCAAUAUUAGAAAAAACAAAAUUGGGGAAAAAGAGCGAAACCUCAUUCUACAAGCCAUUGGUGCAAACAAUACUAGUUAAAAGGAUAACUUUAGGUUUAAUCUUACUAGAUAGAAUAAAAGGUUUUGAAAGGUAACGAGGCAUUGGUGAUGGAAGGUAAUCUAGGAAAUAAAAUUAUGAUUGUCAUGGGAGGAACAUGGCAUAAAGAGGUAGAUUUGGUAUAAAAAACUCUAUUUGAGAUUCUAGAUCUAGAGUGGAAUACAAUAUUAAUAUUUUUAUUGUCAUUGCAAAAUACUAGUUAAAAGGAUAACUUUAGGUUUAAAUGAUACAACUAUAAUUUUAUUGGAGAAUGAUAGGUUUUGAAAAUAGAAAACAAUGUCAAAAGGUAACGAGGCAUUGAUUAUGGGAGGUGGUCCUGUAAUUUACCAUGAAAGAUGGGAGCAAAGUGUUGAAUAUUAAACUCAAUCCAGAAGCUCCCAGAAGGUCAAGGAAGACAACCAGCCACCAGCCACCAGUCGCCGACCAGCCGCCAGCCGCCUUCACACUUGAAGGUUGAAUUUUCUAGUUUUUGAUUUCGUGUAUAAAUAGAGUGCCUAGCUUCUGUUAAUGUGUGUGGAGAGAAUUGAGAGCAACACUAGAAAGAGAAUAGAGAGAGAGAGGGCAUGUACUGUUAAGCUUUUGUUAAUUAAUUGUAAGCUUGUGUUUUUGUAACAAAACUUUGUGUUUUAUCCCCUCUGAGUGUUUCAAAGUCACCACCAGUGGUUUCUCCCAUGCACCAACAAUUAGUAUCAGAGCCCCGUUCGUCAGAAAACAGAAGUGUUUUGGGGUACAUCCGAAUUUUCAAAGUUGUCAAAAACAAGUUUUGAUCAUUCCACAGUGAAGAGCUCAUCAAUACGAACUCACUGUCGCAAGAAUCAGCCUUAUCGGAGUCCGCGGUGAUCCACACGCGCCGCCUGAAGAUCCGGUGACUGUAUCCCAUGCGCAUCCACGCGCGCCAUAUUUGAGCCGCGCCGAGCCCGAGCCGCGCCGCAAGCCGAGCCGUCCUCCGCACCGAGAGAAUAUUCCCCAAAAUAUUCCCUGAAUAUUCCUGGUUCAACCUAGCGAACCGCCCGCCGUACAUAAUUGGUUUUUUGACCGGUUCACCCAUUUUCUGACCCGAAUUCAACAAAGUCAGACCGGUUCCCUGCUAUUUGGAUCAUUCCAGAUCGAUCUACAAUGUCCGUUUGGCCAAAUUCGGCUCCUAGAAAGGUGAUAUAAUCAUUCAAAGAGCAAAAUGACUACAGAAGAUACACAUACACUCAUUCCAAAGCUGACCAAAGACAACUAUGAUAGUUGGUGCAUCAGAUUGAAGGCAUUCCUUGGGUCACAAGAGUGUUUGGAUAUUGUACAAACUGGUUAUGAUGAAUCAGAGUCCAAAGAAAGAGAAGAUGUUUUAUAAGAGGCACAAAAGCAAGCUCUUAAAGUCAACAGAAAGAAAGACAACAAAGCAAAGACCAUCAUCUAUCAGGGUCUUGAUGAAGACACAUUCGAGAUCAUAGCUUCCGCUGAAACAUCACAUGAUAUAUGGAGGCUCUCCAACAGAAAUACAAAGGUGCUGACAGAAUUAAAAAAAUUCGUCUUCAAUCUUUGCGAGGUGAAUUUGAGUUAUUGCAAAUGAAGUCCUCGGAGUCUAUUUCUGAUUAUCGCACAAGGAUUAUGGUGAUAGUCAACCAGAUGAGGAGAAAUGGAGAAGCCAUCGUCGAUUCUCGAAUUACUGAGAAAAUUUUGAGAUCGCUAGAUCCAAAAUUCGAUUUUGUUGUUGUCGCAAUUGAAGAAUCUAAAGAAGUGGACAAGUUGACAGUUGAUGAACUUAUGAGUUCUUUGCAAGCUCAUGAGCAGAAAAUUGUAAAGGGAAAUGGAGAUAAGGCAAUUGAGCAUGCCUUACAAGCAAAGCUGUCUCUCAAGGACAAAAUAUGAGCAAGGGGAGACUUCAACAAAUGGAUAUACCACUCAAGCAGGAAGUCAACAAUCCAGAGGAGGAUUCCAGAGAUUCCAAGGAAGAGGUUCUUGGAAUACAAGCUUUAGAGGAAGAGGUGGCAGAAACAUCAUUAGAGGAGAUCGAGGACAACAAGCAUUCAAUCCUAGAGGAAGAGGGGGCGAUUACAAUAACCAUGACAAGAGGAAUAUCCAAUGUUAUAGUUGCAAUCAAUUUGGGCACUAUAGCACUGAAUGCAGAAGGAAAGCUCUAUUGGAGAUACGUGAGCAAGCCAACUAUGCAGAGAAGGAUGACAGAGAAGAAGCUGCAUUUCUUGUCCAACAAGAACUUGGCGAGAAACAGGAAAAUACAUGGUAUCUAGAUACUGGAGUCAGCAAUCACAUGUGCGGCUACCGAGAGUUAUUUGGUGAUCUAGAUGAGACCAAGCAAGGUCUAGUUACUUUUGGAGAUACCACAAAGGUUCCAUUCAAAGGUAAAGGCAGCAUCCCAAUCAAGUUGAAGAACGGCGAUUCUAGCUACAUCACCAAUGUCUAUUAUGUUUCCAGCUAUAAAGCAGAACCUGAUCAGCUUAGAUCAACUUUUGAAGAGAGGAUAUACUUUUUACUCGAAGAAUUGUCAUCUGACAAUUAGAGACAACAAUUGGAGAUUAAUGGCCUACGUGAAAAUGUCCAAGAAUAAGAUAUUUCCUUUGAACAUCCAGUAUGAUGCAACAAGGUGUUUGAGUGCCAUCACCAACAGUGAAGAAUGACUUUGACGAGGCUUGGAUAUCUGAAUUUCACAAGUCUGAAGAUGCUAUCAAGCAAGAAGAUGGUCCAAGUUGCUAGAAUUGAUAAUGUUAAAAUUAAGAUAUAUGAUGAAGCAAUGAAAACCCUUUGUGAUGCUAGGACUUAGGCACAUGCAGACUUACAAGAAAGAAAGUUGGUGAAACUGAAAAUCUUACCAUUUUGAGAACUUUUACUUCCUGCGAUUUGUUCCAUACACCUCUCGCAGCAUCAUCCUCAUGCUUGGUAUCGAUUAACUUUUUCUGAGCAAGAACAAGCAAAGACAGUAUUAAUUUGUAAGUAUACAUUCGAAACUGAAUUUGAAUGUAUUUUCUUGCAUUCAGUUUUUGUAAUGUUAAAGGUUGUCCUUUUCAUUAUCAUUUUUUGCAAGUAUAUAUGAUGAUUGAUUUGGAGUAUGAUCCCCCGUGAUGUUCAAGAGCAAUUGCAAGCCCAUUAAUUAGCACCAUAAGGUCAGUUUUUCGAAAAGUCUCAGCAUACAAGCAUACCAUUCCAUCUGAAUUUGGUGCUUCAAAGCGUCCGCCUUGCAAUAAUUUCUCAACAACAGCAGAUGGUUUCAACUUUUCAUUAUUAACAAUCCUUUUAUCCACCCGCUUGUCACUCACUAGUGCCCGCACUAUCUCAGGACGGCCAUACAUUGCAGCCAAGUGCAAAGUGUAUUUCCAUCGUAAUCUUUCUCAUUUAUAAGUGCUUCCAGAUCUCGAUUUCCCAAUAUUUCAUCCACUAUUUUCAUCUGUCCACUCCCCGCUGCAACGUGAAGAAUAUUGUGUCCUUUUUUGUUGAGAAAAUCCGUUGGAUCGCGCCAAUUAGUAAGUAGUUCGCGUAUUACUUCAAGAUGGCCCUUCUGGCAUGCAACAUGGAUGGGUAAGUUGCCUUCUUCGUUUCUUUGUGAUGCGGCAACAGGACAUCGACUAACCAGGAGUCUUGCUACAGAAAGGAAGCCCAUGGAUGCUGCAUCAUGCAGAGGGGUGUUUCCAUCGUAAUCUUUCUCAUUUAUAAGAGCUUCCAGAUCUCGAUUUCUCAAUAUUUCAUCCACUAUUUUCAUCUGUCCACUUUCCACUGCAACCUGAAGAAUAUUCUGUCCUUUUUCGUUGAGAAAAUCCAUUGGAUCGAGCCAAAAAAUAAGUAGUUCGCGUACUACUUCAAGAUGGCCCUUCUGGCAUGCAACAUGGAUGGGUAAGUUGCCUUCGUCGUUUCUUUGUGAUGCGGCAACAGGACAUCGACUAACCAGGCGUCUUGCUCCAGAAAGGAAGCCCAUUGAUGCUGCAAGAUGAAGGAGAUUUCCCCCUUUUAUGUCCUCGGGAAGCAUUAUAUCCGGCUUGCCGACCGCUAGUUUUUCUAGUGCAGCAUAAUUUUAAAAUUAGAUAAUCAAUACAAAAAACACAAAAUGCAUGGAAAUAACUUGAAUUUUAUGCUAUACAUGAAAUGAAAUUAUGAAGAAUCAGUUUUAAUGAGACCAAUAAUUAUAAGUGUAACAUGUUAUUUUUCACGUCGAAAUGAUGAAAACAUGUAAUUACCUAAAUUUCUUUCCGUCAUAGCUUCUAUAAAAGAAGCAAUCAUGUCCUCAUCGCAACUCUCUACUGCCAAGUACAAGGGAGACUUGUCUUCCUUGUUCUUGUGGUAGGAAACUUCUAGGUCUUCAUAAAGGAGGAAACAGGCCACCUCUUGGCAACCCUUGAUGACUGCAUCAUGCAAAGGGGUGUUUCCUUUAUUAUUCUUCAUCCUCAGCAAGCUAGCAAGUUCAAGUGUUUUAUGAGGAUCAAUUUUCACAUGGUUGACGAGAUUUUGAAUCGUGUCAAACCGUCGAGCCCUGGCAGCCAGAUGUAGCGCAUUAUCACCCAGGAAAUUUUUCCUGGUGAUUAGGAGGAGGAAGUGAUGACACAGUAGGUGUGUCACAUCUUCGCUUCCAUGGCUUGCUGCCACAUGAAGCAGUGAAUUUCCAGAGGCAGCAACAUGUUUGAAAAUGAUAUGGAGCACUUCCUCUGAUGAAACAUGUUCCAGUUUAUCGGACAAGAGACCAAACAAGGCAUUGAAGUUGUCUUCCUUUGCAUAGGUAUAAACCUCCUUCUCCAGUAUUUUAUUUGGCUCAGAAAAACCAUAAUCUGCAAUCGGAACUGGGAAUUUAACUGCCUUCCAUCGUUCAAGCUCCUCAUGUAUUUGCAUAGAGAGUUGCAACGUGCUGGAAGAUUGUAUAAUGUCGGUUGAGUGCUCCAUCUCUUCUUGAGUGACUUAACUUUGCUGCGGUUGUAUCAGUGGUAAAUUGGUAAUUACAUGUAUUGUUAUUUGGCCAAGCAAACUAAAGAAUUCAUUGAAAACAUGAAUGCAAGGGAUAAGCUAAUUAAAGUAUUAGUGAGAGAAAACGUACAUUAGCUACAUAAUUUUUCUCAAUACAAUUAUUUAGGAGCAUAUAUAUAAAUGUUUAAAUUCAAGUAAAAAUCAAGUUGUUAAUUCUUAUUGAUCGGUUAUGUUCGAAAAUAUGGUUGAUGAUUAUUUUUUAAAAUGUUUUUUACUUGAAAAAUAAUGUUUUUUUAUUUAAAAAAAAAUUAUUUUUGAUAUCAUUAUAUUAAAAUUAUCUUAAAAUACUAACAAAAAAUAUUAAUUUAAAAAAAUUAAUUGUUUUCAAAAAUAUUUUUAAAUAAUAAAAUAACAGGUCAAAUUCCAAUUAAGGCAUUCUUUUAUAACCAGGUCCAACAAUAACUAAGGGUUUGUGUAUUGUAUUUACAAAUAAAAUAAUGUUUUAUGACUUUUAAUAUAUUUUCUAACAGUAUUAUAUAAAUUAAUAAAUUAUAUACAUAAAUAUAUCAAGUUAAUAUAAAUUUUAUUAGCGCAAACAACUGAUGCAAGUUUGUUAAGAAUUUGAAUAGACAAGUAUUGUGCGUGUACAGUGAUGAGUUAAUUAAAAUCCAAAGUGCACAGUGUUAAGUGAUUGAAAUUGUAAGACCGGGGAAGAGAAGAGACUUACCUGGUAGUUCUGGAGAUGAGGACGUGAUGGAGGACUGGUCGACUAGUUAUUGUCUUCCUCUGCUUUCACCUCUGUUUAUAAAGAGUUGUUAUAAACUGUGAAUGUUAUUGACUGCAUCGCGAAUUACGGUAGAAAUGUUUUUCUCGUGUUUUGGGUUUGAUAAUUGCUAAAAGCACUCUAGUUAGGGAGACAUAAAGAUUGGGGCUAGUCUUGCCACCGAAAGUUGUAAAGAAUACAGCUGGCGGAGUUGUCUUUUUAUAUAGAUAGAAAAUGACCAGUUUGAAUUUUGGUGAAGUAGGACGACCAGGCUGCAGAUAUCUACUGCUCGGCACGAUCCAGAUAAGAAACAGCUGGCGUAAGGGCCAGUCAGCAAGCUCAUUAGUACCGGACUACUAACACUUUUCGUGAACGGCGGAGCUAAACUGUUACUAAUCCUGGUUGUAAAGCUAAGUUAGAGCUUGAAAAUUCUUACUUGAUCGUGAUGGUUUUGCACUCUUGUGAUUUUUUAUUUAAAUUUCUUUUUAAAAUCUAAGCUAAAACCCGAUGUUGCUGAGAAGAGAUAAUAAAAAUCCCAUGGUGCUUCUCUAGUAUUAAUAAAGAUAAAAUAGUGGAUCUUAAUAAAUGAUAGAAGAAAAAAAUAUUUUUAAAGAGUAGGUUUUACAAAAAAAACAAAAGGGAAAAUCUUUAUUUCUUACUUUAGUAGAUAUAUUUGUAGGAGACAGCGCCCUCUCCUGGGGUUCGGGGCGGAGCCCCGUUUUUUUUUUUUUUUAUAGAGCUCCAAAUAAAAUUUAGUUAAAAUAAUAAAAACACAACUAAAAUUAACCUUGCAAAAAUAUAUAGGACUUAACGACAGUAUGAUUCUCACAGAAAAGGAACAAACAAAUAAAAGCUCUUAGCAUUAGUUGCACUUGCAAUCUUAAACCAAAGAUCAGCACACUCCUUUCCAAUUGGACCGGUAAUUGCUGAGCCUUCAUUUUUCCUUUGGGGUUCACAAUGACACUAGUAUUAUCUUCAAAAUACAUGAAAUAUCAAGUAGGGGGGUUUAACUAAUUCAACUAAUAUAUAAAUAUCAAGUAGGGGGGGUUUAACUACACAUAUAAAAAAUAAUAUUUUCAAUCUUUUCCUUUUUCAUUCUAUAUUUGUCUUGACUUUUGACAUGUGAACACUGAACACUUUAUCGAGGGAUAAAAGUAUUUCUUUUGUAUAAAAGGGAUGUGCAUUUUUUCCACAUGCUUUUGCAUAAAGGGACCUGCUUUUCUUUUAUCUACUUGGUUUCAUGUAUUUUCCGGGCUAUUUUGGUUUUUUUACGAGUUGGUGGAAAUCUUGUUGGCUAGUAUCAUUAUUUUACACUUGGACAUGGCUGGAAUUCUUGCCAUUUAGACUAAUCAAUUUAUCAUUCAUCUUUUUCACUUUGUUGUUGUUGAUAUCAGCUUGCUCUUCACAAGAAACAAAAUUGGAUUAUUGGUUUUUUUUUAAUUUUUUUCCUUAAUUAACCGAAUCCAAAUAAGUUGCCUUGAACUGGCGGUUUGGUUUUAUUUUUAAAUUAAAAAUAAAUAAAAAUUCAGUUUGGUUGGUUUUUUAAGUAAAAAUUAAACUGAAAAUGCUCACCUCUACAUGUAGUUCUGGAGAUGAAUAUGUGAUGGAGGACUGGUCGACUAGUUACUUGCUUCCUCUGCUCUCACCUGUGUUCUUGCUUUUCUCUGAUCGGUUUCUUCCUGUCCGUCCCGUGUUCUGCGUGUGUUUCGUUCUCCUGUGGCCUUCUGUUUUUGCUCGUCUUCUCUGUAUUAUCUCUGUUCUUGCGUCUGUGUUUUUGUUUGUGGUCUUUGGUCCAGUGUUCUCUGUGUAUUAUCUGCGUCUCCUCUCUGUCCGGUCGUCUUUGUUUUUCCUGGGUUUUUUUCGUUCGUUCGUCCUCUUCGUCCUUCCCCUUCCUCCUGGAGGCCUUUCUUCCUCUGGCUUUAUAGCCAGAGAAUGCCAUACGUUUCAGUAACGUAUUGCAUCGUGGGCAGCUGAGGCGUUGAGGCGUUGAGGAAGAUGAACAGCUCGUCUGGAAACGGCGCCGUUGAUUUUCUGUCGGUUUGGUCACUGAAGUGUGGAGAUUUCACAAUCAAGCCCCUUAAUCAGGAAAUUCCUUCCACUUGUUUUUUAAUUUCGCCCCCUGGAUAAAUUGUAAUUAAACCUCUGGAUUUUAGCAUCUUUUACUAAACAGUCCUUAGUUUCUGAAUGUUUCAAUUCAGUCCUUAAUUAAUUUUUCAACUUUUAAUUAUUUCAAAAUUAUCCCUGGAAAAAUCAAUUAAGCUCCCUAGAGUAACCCCUGCAUUUUCACUUUGAUCCUUGGACUUUAAUUCCUUACAAUUUGAACCCAAAUCAGCCCCCAAACUUUGGUAUUUUUUCAAUUUAGUAUUCACUCUUUUAAUAGUUUUAUUUUUUGAGUUUUUUUUGUUAAAUUGAAUUUUGUUUUCAAUUUUACCUUUCAAUAAAAAAAUAUUUUUUAUUUUAAUUUAAUUUUCAUGUUUUCAAUUGCUAUUUUUUUUUUAACUUUUAACAUUUUAUUGGUGGGGAAUUAUACUAUUUGUUUUUUAUUCAAUCUCAUGCUUUUAUAUUCAAUGAGUCGAGAAUUGAGUCACAUCAUUUAUUUAUUUUUAAAAUAAAAAUUUUUUCAAGUUAUUAUAAUUUUUUUUUAAUUUGUUUUAUAUGCUUAAGCUCAUUAUUUAUUUAUUUUUUCUCUGGUUUCAAUCUUCCAUAUUAGGUUUGCUCGGAACCAAGCUCUUAUACCUUUUUUUUUCCUUUUUUUGUUGAUGUUUAUUAUAAGUUAUCAUUUAAACUUUUUUUUAUUUGAUUCAAUCUAUAAUCUAUUUACCGUUGUUUUUUUUUAUCAUUUAAUUAAAUGUUAUCAGCUUAUCUGACUUUGUCACAAAGAUUUUUAACUUUUUUAGAGCACAAUUGCAAUAUUUGAACAAUUUUAUUAGCUAAUAUUUUUUUUUUCAUUUAACUUGUUGCAUAGCGUUGGGCUAUGGAUUUAGUAAUCACUACCACUUGUUUAAUUAGGAUCAGUGAAAGCUAAUUUUUAGUCAUCACUUCUUGUUUCUUUUUUUAUUGUUUAAUAAAAGUAGUUCAUUCCUUGAAUUAUAACGAAACUAUUUUAUAAUUAUGCAAAAAAAUUUUUUUCCUUUUUCUUGUUAUAUCGUAAUUACGAUAUUUAAUCUAUUUUUGUGUAACAUUGUUAAGCCAUUAUUUGUUAAUUAUUUUUUUUAACUUCAACCAUUAUUGUUUUUUCCCCUAGCAUUUUAGAAAACACCCUAGAGAUCGGAAAAACAAAAAGAGUAUGUUAUAUUAACAGCUCCAUGCCCGUGUAAUGCUUGUGCUAGCAGAUAGGUGGCGCUAGCUCCAUUUGGGUGGUAUUUUUUAGCGACCUAACACUAGUUUUUAUUGUGUCAUUAGAAGUACUGCAGUAUACUUUUUUUUUAAGGACGACACGUGGUAUUAUUGAGGUAGCGGUGGGAUGUUGAUUUACUUUUUUUCUCAUCCUAGUUUACUUUUUUUUUUUUUUGAAAAUCAUGUUGAUCAUGUGAAAUUUCAAAGUUAUUUUCUAAUUCAUUGAGAUGUCAAAUUUAUUAUUUAUUUUUGAUCUUGGUCAUUUUGUGAAAUUUUGAGUUAUUUUUAAUUUUAUCCUUCAAUCUUAAUUUGUUAUAUAUUAUAUUUUUUUAAUUUAAUCGUCAUUCUUUUGAUAGUUUUAUUUUUUGAAUUCUUUUAUUAAAUUGAAUUUUCUUUUCAAUUUUACCCUUCAAUCAAAAAUAAAAUUUAUUUUUAAUUUUAAUUUUGAUUCUCAUUUCUUCAAUUAUUAUUAUUUUUUAUCUUUCUGUAUAAUUGAUUUUUCUUUUUUUCUUUUUUAAAUUUUAACAUUUUAAUUAGUUGAGAAUUAUAUUAUUUUUUUAUUUUAUAUUUAAUGGGUUGGGAAUUGAUUCACAUCAUUUAUCGUCUUUUGAAAUAAUAUUUUUUUCAAGUUAUCAUGAUCAUUUUUUCUUAAUUUGUUCUAUAUACUCUAGCUCAUUGUUUAUUUUUAUUAUUAUUUAAUUAAAAUAAAACAAAUCUAUUUAUAGUCUAGUCUAUAACUGGUCUAUCAUUCAUUUUUCUCUAUGCUUUAGAACAUUAUGUUUUAUAUGAAAGAAAAGGAAUCCAACCCCGCAUCAUAGCUCAGGUCCACGACUAGUACAUACUAUAUUUAUCAAAAACGCACGCGAUUAGUUGUUGUCAAACUAUUUAGUGCUAAGAAUUCGAAAGUCAAGUACCCUGCAACAUGGAAGAACUCUGAAGAGACACACCAGUGACAUGUAUGUUCUGCUCUAUAUAUAACCAAAGUCGUUACAAGAGAGAAGAGAAAGAGCUUAAUAUCUAUUUGUUACAAGAGAUACAAAUUAGAAAAGAAGACAAAAUACUGAUUUUGCAUUUGAAACUAUCAAUCUAAAGGAAAAAAAAUAUUGGAUAAGAACAAAACAGACUUGGGAUGUGAUGAUGACUAUGAAAGAUCUAGUGUCUUCUUGCCGCGUCAUUGCCAGGAUGAAUGUAAAUGCUAAACCCAUGCAGAGAAGGGAGUAAAAAUUAAGAGAUGUCGCCUUCUCCAUGCUUGAUGUUACAUCACUGGCACGACCUAAUGAUAUCUGACAAAGGAUUAUAGCGGCGAUGAGGGAGCAAUUCAUAGCUAGCAUGUCAAAACAAAUAUAUAAACUCAUCAUAUUUUUUGACCAAUCACUGCUAAGAUCAGAACCUGAUCCAGGCACAGUGAUAGCACCAGCGAAGGUUACUCCAGCUACCAGUACUGCCACCACGAGAAGAUUCCCUACCCCUCUGUUCAGUUCCUCCGUCGUUAACGUCGUUCUUGGUAAAUCACACUCAGUCUUAUCAUCUGCCUCCACCAAAACUUUAAAUACCUUACGCUGAACAACAAAGUGUUAAUUAGAAAAUAUAUGGAUUUAAUUGGAGAAUUGAUAAGUUUUGAGACUUAAUUAAACUUGUAAUUAAUUUAAUUAAUCCAAUAAGGGGCUUAAUUGGAAAAGCGAUAAGUGUUAGACUUAAUUGGACUUUGGAUUUAAUGAAAUUAGGGACGUAAUUGAAGAAAUAGCAAAGUUUGGGGUUAAUUGGGGGCACGAUUGAAACAGAGUAAAGUCCAAGAACUAACUGGUAAAAGGCGCCGAAAUGUCUGGGAAAUUACAGUUUAAACCAGGGGUUUAAUUACAAGACUCGAAACUGCACAGGUCAAAAUGUAAAAUGGCCACAUUUCACAUCUCAAGACGGCGCCGUUUUAAGAGACACUGUUCGUCUUCUUCAAAACUAGAAACGAACACUGCACGAUCCUUAGUCCCUCAUUAUUUCUGCAAACGGUCGGUCACCUCAUUAUUUAGGGGUGACCGCAUGGCAUUCUCUGGCUAUAUAAAAGCUAGAGAUAGGUCAUGCACGGGGGGGGGGUGAAACAAAAAAAGACGGGACGAAGAGAGACAGAACCAGGGGAAAAUUUUGGCCCCUCAACCAGUAGCAAAUCCUCGUGCUUUUACCACUAUUGUCUUCGUCUUGAACGCAGAAGACUGGGCAGAGACACAAAAAAGGAAGAGAAACUGAGGAGAACAGGAAAAGGACAGGGAAACGAACAAGAUAGAGGAGAGCAAAUUUUCUGCCCCUGUUUCUUCUCAAAGGAACAGAGGCUGUCCUCUGGCUUUAUAAAAGCCAGAGAAGGCCACGGAGGAAAAAGGGGAUCACUGCCUUCUCCAUCUCCAACACUAGAGAUGGAAGACGGAGAGAAAAACAAAGAGACGAUAAAGGGAGAGGACGAACAAAAAAACACAGGGAGGAACAGAGACCGGAGAGGAAAAACAAAGAAAUCACAGAAGGGAGAUUAAAGAGAAAACAGAGGUAAAUAACGAACAAACACUAAGGGGCUGACUGAAGCAAGCUUCAACGGGGAGAGGAAUGAAAAAACAAUGAGGGGCUGACUGAAGAAAGCCUCAACAGGAGAUUGAACACGAAGAAAAGUCAGGGGAAGGAGAGUACUAGACAGAGAAAUAAAAAACAGAUACAGAGAGAGAGAGAGAGGGAGAGAAUCCUGAGAGCAGAAGAAAGCAAGAGAAAAAGCAAAAGAAGGGAAAUAAAUUUUUUAUAUGUUUUCUUUUAUUCUAUAGGUUUUGACAAUUUAAAAAAUCUUUUUAAAUGAGUAUUGAUUGUUCCUAUAUUUGCAAUUAGUAGAAGCUUGAUGCUUGAUUCUUCUUUAUCUCUCUAUACGACCCAUGACCAAUCGUUUUCUUUUGAAGUUAGAUUUGUACUCUUGAGGAUGAAUGAAGGAAUGGGUAUACACAAGAGUUAAAAGGUUGACAACACAAGUAGUCAAUAUUAGAAAAAAAAUUGAGGAUAAAGAGCGAAACCUCAUUCUACAAGCCAUUGGUGCAAACAAUACUAGUUAAAAGGAUAACUUUAGGUUUAAUCUUACUGGAUAGAAUAAAAGGUUUUGAAAGGUAACGAGGCAUUGGUGAUCGAUGGAAGGUAAUCUAGGAAAUAAAAUUAUGAUUGUCAUGGGAGGAACAUGGCAUAAGGAGGUAGAUUUGGUAUAAAUAACUCUAUUUGAGAUUCUAGAUCUAGAGUGGAAUACAAUGAUAAGAAAUAUUUUUAUUGUCAUUGCAAAUGUCAUAUAUAAUCCAAUUUUUGAUCAUUUUAUUGCAUAGAGAGUCACUCAAGAAGAGAGUGGAAUAUUUUUAUUGCCAAUAUUGCAAAGGCCAUGUUUGGCAUCAUUGUGACAAGAUGAAAGCCGCCUUAGAAGAAUUACGAAGUCUAGAGAUGUUACGAAUACGAUGAAAUAUGGGAGCAAAGAUGAUGAUAUUCUCAUGGAUCAUAAAUGUAAUAAGGUUUUGAAAAAUUCAUGGAUUGUAGAUUUUGCAUGCUCCUUUCAUAUUUAUUUAAAGAAAGAAUGUUUUGAUCCUUACAAAGAAUAUGAUGGAGCAAUGAAAACCCUUUGUGAUGUUAGUCACAUGCCAAGACUUCAAAGAAAGAAAGAAAGUUUCUGAAACCGAAAAUCUUACCAUUUUGCGAACUUCUGCUUCCUGCGAUUUGUUCCAUACACCUCUCGCAGCAUCAUCCCCAUGCUUGGUAUCGAUUCGCUUGCUCUGAUCAAGGACAAGCAAAGACAGUAUUAAUUUGUAAGUAUACAUUCGAAACUGAAAUCAGUUUUUGUAAUGUUAAAGGUUGUCCUUUUCAUUAUCAUUUUUUGCAAGUAUAUAUGAUGAUUGAUUUGGAGUAUGAUCCCCCGUGAUGUUCAAGAGCAAUUGCAAGCCCAUUAAUUGGCACCAUAAGGUCAGUUUUUCGAAAAGGCUCAGCAUAUAAGCAUACCAUUCCAUCUGACUUUGGUGCAUCAAAGCGUCCGCCUCGCAAUAAUUUCGCAAAAACACCAGAUGGUUUCAACUUUUCAUUAUUAACAAUCCUUUUAUCCACCCGCAUGUCACUCGCUAGUGCCUGCACUAUCUCAGAACGGCAAUACAUUGCAGCCAAGUGCAAAGGUGUAUUUCCAUCGUAAUCCUUCUCAUUUAUAAGUGCUUCCAGAUCUCGAUUUCCCAAUAUUUCAUCCACUAUUCUCAUCUGUCCACUCUUCGCUGCAACGUGAAGAAUAUUCUGUCCUUUUUCGUUGAGAAAAUCCAUUGGAUCGAACCAAUAAGUAAGUAGUUCGCGUACUACUUCAAGAUGCCCCUUCUGGCAUGCAUCAUGGAUGGGUAAGUUGCCUUCUUCGUUGCUUUGUGAAGCGGCAACAGGACAUCGACUAACCAGGAGUCUUGCUCCAGAAAGGAAGCCCAUGGAUGCUGCAAGAUGAAGGAGAUUUCCCCCUUUUAUGUCCUCGGGAAGCAUUAUAUCCGGCUUGCCGACCGCUAGUUUUUCUAGUGCAGCAUAAUUUAAAAAUGAGAUAAUCAAUACAAAAAACACAAAAUGCAUGGAAAUAACUUGAAUUUUAUGCUUUACAUAAAAUGAAAUCAUGAAGAAUCAGUUUUAAUGAGACCAAUAAUUAUAAGAGUAACAUGUUAUUUUUCACUUCGAAAUGAUGAAAACAUGUCAUUACCUAAAUUUCCUUCCGGCAUAGCUUCUAUAAAAGAAGCAAGCAUCUCCCCGUCGCAACUCUCUACUGCCAAGUACAAGGGAGACUUGUCUUCCUUGUUCUUGUGGUAGGAAACUUCUAGGUCUUCAUUAACGAGGAAACAGGCCACCUCUCGGCAACCCUUGAUGACUGCAUCAUGCAAUGGGGUGUUUCCUUUAUUAUUCUUCAUCCUCAGCAAGCUAGCAAGUUCAAGUGUUCUAUGAUGAAUUUUCACAUGCUCGACGAGAUUUUGAAUUUUGUCAAACCGUACAGCCCUGGCAGCCAGAUGAAGCGCAUUAUCACCCAGGAAAUUUUUCCUGGUGAUUAGGAGGGGGAAGUGAUGACACAGUAGCUGUAUCACACCUUCGCUUCCAUGGCUUGCUGCCACAUGAAGCAGUGAAUUUCCAGAGGCAGCAACAUGUUUGAAAAUGAUACUGAGCACUUCCAGUUCAUUGGACAAGAGAUGAAACAAGGCAUUGAAGUUGUCUUCCUUUGCAUAGAUAUAAAACUCCCUCUGCAGUAUUUUAUUUGGCUCAGAAAAACCAUACUCUGCAAUCGGAACUGGGAAUUUAACUGCCUUCCAUCGUUCAAGCUCCUCAUUUACUGGUCUCGGCAUAUCUAUUUGUAAUUGCAUAGAGGGUUGCAACGUGCUGGGAGAUUGUAUAAUGUCGGUUGAGUGCUCGAUCUCUUCUUGAGUGACUUGACUUUGCUGCGGUUGUAUCAGUGGUAAAUUGGUAAUUACAUGUCUUGUUAUUUGGCCAAGCAAACUAAAGAAUUCAUAGAAAACAUGAAUGCAAGAAAUAUGCUAAUUAAAGUAUUAGUGAGAGAAAACGUACAUUAGCUACAUAAUUUCUCGAAAUACAAUUAUUUAGGAGCAUAAUGUCAAAAUUAAACUGUUAACGCGUUGUCGAUUUUUUCAAGUAAAAGUUUUUUUUAUAUAUUUACAUCCAAAAAUAACUACGGGUUUGUGUAUUGUAUUUAUAAAUAAAAUAAUAUUUUACGACUUUUAAUAUAUUUUCUAAUAGUAUUAUAUAAAUUAAUAAACUAUAUGCACAAAUAUAUCAAAUUAAUAUAAUUGUUUUUAGCCGCAAACAACUGAUGCCAGUUUGUUAAGAAGAAUUUGAAUAGAAUCUUAAGAAAUAAUUCUCAUAAUAUAUGAAGGAGAAAAUAAUACAUAGAUAAAAGUCAAUUCUCUCCAUAAUAAAGAUCAUUCUCAAAAUGCACACUCCAAACACACUAAAGCAAAAUGAAAGGUUUAAUCAUCAUACAAUCCUGACAUAAAAAAAGAAGUCAGACCAAUCCCUCGUAUCCAUACACUCUAAAUUUUGUGCCAAUAACAAAAAAACUAAAUGCAAAAUCUAUAAAUAGUUUUUUUUUUAAAAAAAAAACAGUGAAUAUCUUCUCUUUUGAAGAAUGAGAGAUAGAGUGUACAGUGUAGGAAAAAUUAUAAUUAACCUAAAUACAGGGAUCAUACCUCCUUUCUCUUGUUUACGAAGACGUUUCGGGUAUUUUUCAUGCACUUUCGAUGAAUUGCAAAAAAAAAAAAAACCCAAACAAAUUUAAACUGAAAUAUUGACACCAAAAAAGAAAAAAAAAAACACCGAACCAUUACACUAAUCAUGAGAUUCCAUGUUAAAAUGAAAAGGAAAUAAUAUAUAAGAAAAUCAAUUCUGAAGGAGAACCAUGUAAAUGUGUACCUGUAUAUUAGUGUAAACUGAGAGAGAAGGAGCGUGAAGGGAGAUGACGAAGAAGACCAGUUUCCUGCAUGCAGAAGUACUUUCCCUGCCAAUAAUUAGACAAAAUUAAGAGACUUGUGCAUACUGAGAGGUUUUUUAAGCUCUAAGAAACAAACUCCUUAGGUAAUAAGGUUUCUAAAAGAAAAAAAAAAGGUUUCUUUGCUUUUCACUUUUCUAUUUAAAAGAGAGUGUGCUGAACGAGCAACACGUUGGCAUCCAUUUCAAGCUUUAAAAUUAGAAAAUGUGAUUUUAGAUAUAUAUUUUUUUAAAAAUAUAUUUUUUAUUUAGAAAUAUAUUAAAAUAAUUUUUUUAUUUUUUAAAAUCAAUUUUUAUAUUAACGCAUCAAAAUCAUCUUAAAACACAAAAAAAAUAUUAAUUUAAAAUAAAAAAAUUUUAAUAUUUUUUUUAAAAUAUUUUUAAAACAUAAAAACAAAUAUUAUUGACUGAACUCAAAUUCUUUUGGAUGCAUAUAGUACUUUUUUCUUUCAGAAUCUUUUCUUUUCUAUUUAAAAGAGAUUGUGAUGAACGAGCAACACAGUGACAUCUAAGAUGAAGUGACCAGGUUGUUUUAAUAAUCCUUUUAUAAUAUCAAGCUUUAAAUUUGACAAAUUUAUAAAUUAGGUUCCUCUUAUCAUUAAUCCGAAUUCCUAAUAAUUUUUAUUCAAAUUUGACCACAUCUUUUGUUCAUUGUAGCAUUAAGCUUUGUUGAACAUCAAUUACUAAUCAUACCUGAAUUUAAGCCAUUCAAAUAGCUACCAUCGCCGCCCUGCGGUCACCAAAUCAAACGUACAUCAUACCUCUAUUUUCUAUGCUUUUAUUCAGUUUUGUAAUUGCUUGCUUCCAGUUCUUGUGCUUAGAUACUCGGUUUGCUGAUUAAGUUACAUAUUCCCUGAUCUUUUGUUUGCGGAUUCGAUUUUUAUCCCACUUAUUUUUAUUUUUCCAAUGAAAACUUUCAAUCAACAAGUUUCUCAUCAGAUAUUUGUGUUUCAUCGGUCAUUUCAUCAUAAACUUUGUUUUUUUUUUUUUUUUUUAUGGAAUGACCAAUAAAAAUAUUCAUGCUAAAAAAUUAGAUUUUAUCACCCAUUUGUCAUCGGGAAGUCCGUCCAAGAAAAGGAGCAAAUAUUACCGCUGAAAUCAUGGAUAAAAAUACACUUUAAUUUCCAAUGGAAAUUCCUUCAUCAAUUCCAUUGGAAAUACCUAAACUUUAUGUAAAUUUCGAUGAAAUGUGAGUAAAUAUUGCCGACAAAAAUGCAAUUUUUUUGGUGAUUCUGUUUGUGUUCCAUACUUUUUUUAUGUUGUUUAGUUUUUAUAAUCCCAAAUGCAUUUUUUAUUAACACUAAACUCAUAACAACAACAAUAAAAUUAAAAAUAUUAUAACAAAAUUCCAUACAUAAAAAUUUUGUAAAUAACAUAUUAAAAUUUUUAAAAAGUUGGAGGAGGUGAAAAAAAUCAUGAUCUAUAAGCUCCAUGAGAGGGAGGAAAAUGUAAAGCCAAAUACGCACGUAUUUGCUCUCAUUUUCUAUUAUUUCUUGUUUGAUUUUUGCUUUUAUUUCUUCUAUUAGUUCUGUCAUUAUUUAUGCUCUUAUAUUAUGCAACUCAAUAGCCAAUUGUUAUGGAAUCCUAUCUCAAACCAUCUCCUUAAUGGUCAAUGAUGUCUGGUUGAAAUUGGAAUAUUUUGUGCCUACCAUUGAAACACUACGACUCACCCUUGUAUCUUGGUCAAUGCUAUAGACAUACCACAAACUAAAUUCUUAUCAAGUCUAUUAAUUGCUCUAUCCUUCAACCACAAAUAAGAAUCGUUAGGAGGAUGGUUGUAAUUGUGUUUUUCAUGUUUAACAGCCAUGUUGGCAUUAUAUAUAUUUGUCAAAACAAAACAAAAGGUCAAAAUCCAAUUAAACUUAAAAAAAAUAGUAAUACAAUUAUAACUAUCCAAAAAUACUUACAAUGAACUCUUUCACUGUUUCACUAUAUUAUUGAUAAACCUUUUUAUCUUUUUUGCUUAUCCUCUUUUUUUAUAUGAGUUUCCUAAUAUAACUUCAUUGGAGUAUGUUCGCACCAAAACUGUUUUUCCUAUACAAUAAAUAGUUUGUAAAAAAGUCUCAUAAAUAAAAAAUAAAUUAAUAAUUAAAUAAACAAUAAUUAAAUAUAUAGCAAUGCUCUUAUUAGGCUAUUUGCAUGGUUCACCAAGGAAAGUGCUCCUCAAGUGUGCAUGCUCAUCAAACCAUGAAUUUUCUUUUUUCCUAUUGUUUUGAGACCUAGAUUUUGAGCACUUUUUAAAACCAUAUGAUGCCAAAACUUCUUGAAACUUAGCCCAAUUACUCUUUGUGACGUGUCUCGAUCUAAAAUUUUUCCACAAUACUAUGUCAUCAAAGUUGGCUCUGUUCAUUGAAUAUCUAGAAACAUCAUGCCACAAAUCACGCAACCUAGUAUAGUAAUUUAAUAAACAAAAUUAAGAUAAGGAAAUGAAAUAUUAUAGUUUUACAAUAAUAUAAUUGUUUUUUGCAUUAUACUUACCUAAUUACAAUGUGGUUUUCCCACACAUUUCUUACAACCCCCUCAUUUUCCUUGUCCUGGUAAUUUUUUUUCCUUGUAGUCAAACAUUAGUUAUUUUUAAAAAAUUUUAAAAACUAUAUAUUAACUCAAUGUAUAUAUUAUUUAUUUAACCAUUAACUUUUCCCAAAAACAUCUACUAUAAUCAUACAUUUAGAAUGAUCUUAAAGUUGACUCUAUUAAAACAAUGGUUUUUCAAAAACAAAUUUAAGAUUAAUUGUAUUAAAGAGAAAAACUAUAAAAAAAAAAAACACAAAAAGUGUACCUAAGAUGUACAUCAUCUUGUAACCCAAAUCAAAUGACCUUAGACAAUAGGGAAAAAAACAAAAGCUAAAAAAAAUUAAAAAUUUCUGAAAAUAAGACUGCUUGAAUAAUAGCAUAGAAAAUCAAUUCAUCAAAAUCAUUUAAUGUAAAACUUAAAAUAAUCUAUUACAAAUAAAUAACUUCAAUGGUAAGAGAAAAAACAUGACUUACAUUGUGUCGUUGGCUUUUUAUGUUGCAAUAAGUUUUCUUGAUACAGGGUCUCUAGAAGAAGGGAUUCUACCUUUUUUGUUUGUGAAAUUCAUUGUUGUAAAUGAGAUCAUUGCAUAAUUAGUUGGCAUCAAAGGACAUAAUAAUCUCUCUCUUUGUAUGAUUAAUAGAAAUGAUACUGUGAAUCUGUAAAUUAUGCCAAAAACGCUUUAUUCUGUUUCUAAAGGACUCGAGGCUAUUGCUCUAAGAGUUGAAGUGCCUAUGUUCAAAUCAUUUUAAAAUUACCUGCAUUAUUGCAUUUUUGUUCCACUAGAAAUUGUUUCUGAUGUUUUUGACAUCUACAAAUACUGCAAGGUCCUAUCCUGGUACUACUACAUCUGCUUGGUGUGGCCUUGUUAAGUUAACUGGGAAUUUGCAUAAUGUUUCCAGGCUGAUGCUUUUGAAAGCCAGCGUGGACAAUGCAUUGAUAUCACCUGGAAAGUGAUAAUUUAUUUAAAUAAAACAGACUUUACCAAGGUGAUGGAAACAAUGCUAUACUGCCCUGACAAAUAAAUGUAUAAAUGACAUUCGAGAGUUAAACUGGUUUUGCUUACACCAUUGUGCAUAGAACUGCUUAUUUCCUUUUCUGAAGAAUGUUCUUUGUACGCUUAAUUGAACUAGUCUCUUUAAGUGUUCAAUGGUUCUCACCAACCAUUUGUCAAAGAAAUAAAGAAGUCUGUUAAUUUUAUUGGUUUGCCAUUCCAACAGGGGCUGGAUCCCCUUUAAAUUGUGCAUGCAACUUGUUAGCAAACCUCUUAUUUUGGUAGGCAGAGUUUAUCCGUGUUGUGACUUCAGAUAAUAACAAUGACUGAUUUGGUCAAUCUCUCAAAAAGUUUUCUGUAUUCCCGAGAGUAAUAAUCCUAAUCAUCAUUUUAGGUUAGUUGACAGAAUAUCUUUCUUGGUUAUUUCUUAGUUCAUAUGAACCAAACCUGCCUCAUUCCUCCCCUCAUGCGAGGUAGUUAAGUAGUGUAUGAGCCCUAGUACUGGUUUCAAGAUAUGACUUAUCACUGUGUAUAUGUCUGUAGUUAGUUUAGCUGAGAGUUCAAACAAGUGUUUAUGGUGUUAAACGUUUUUCAAUCAUAAAUUGUUUUGCAGAUAUAAUUGAUGAAUUGGUGAAGAAUGGGAAAGAGAUAAGGCUGUAUAUUUUGCUUCUGAAUCUGGUUUGACGAAAAGAUUUUCUCCUGUAUCUCUACUCAAGUCAUAUCUUAAGAAUUCCAAGAAGAUCACAACUACUGUCUUGAAGAAUGGCAAUUAUAGUGUAGCUGCAACGGUGUGUCUAAUCUCUAUCUACAUUGUGUAAUUCUAAUGACAUGAAAUAUUUGAGUCUUAUUAAUUUUUUUGCAGGAUGAGUCAAGUACCUUGGAGUUGAAUUCUAUUAAAGCAAUCAUCAAAUGUGUGGAAGAUCAUAAGCUUGAAUCAGAAUUUUCCCUUGACAGCUUGAGAAAACGGGCUUCUCUGCUUGAAAAAACCAAAGCAGAGAGGAAGAGGGGUACAUCAGCUGCCACUGCUACCAAGUCUCAAAACAAGCGAGGCCAUGGUUCAAGUGGUGGCCGGGACAGUGGACCUACUCCUUAUCGUCAAGCCAAAGCUGCCAAAUUUUCAAACAAUUAUUCCUCUUUCAGCCGCAGGAAUGCUCCUCUCCCUGCACAGCAUAGCCCGGCUAGAAGAUAUUCAGGGCCAUUCCACUACCCUAGCCAGAGUGUCUACGAGGGCCCCGCAGCAGCCCCGUAUGCAUCAACUUAUGGUAUCUCGCACGCUCAAAGCCCUUCUGCAAUCUCUCAACAACCCUACCAUCACUCUCAAAGCCCCAGUGCAAUUCCUCAACAACUCUACUCACAGCCAGCGGAGAACAUGAGUGCUGCCGGUUUCCGUGCCAGUGGUUCUUAUGGAAGCCAGACCGGUUACGGGGCAUAUGAUUACGGCUCUGCUGCACCCGUUACUUACCAACCUUCAUCCUACACUCAAUAAGAUGGGAGGAACCUAGCCAGGUGUUAAGAUUCUUAUUUUUAUUUGGUGUCUGAUUUCUGGAUGUGGCCCUCUAAUUUUGGGACCCGCCCCCUUCAUCUCCCUUUCCCGUAUAAAAGUUUUUUUUUGGUCUUAUCUCAUGACUGGAUAUGAUGCCCAUGCCUGUAACGCUGAUUACCUUUAUAUGGAGCUCAAGCUGGAUGUGAUUUCCGUGCUGUGAGUUUUAAAUGGUUUGGCUAUCGAGCAUUGUAUUCUUUCAACUUCUUUCCUUGAUUGGAGUCGCCAUUGGGUGCCUAUGCUUGUGUUUUUGCCAAAUUUUGGUUAAUCAAACCAAUUUCAUUUGCUGCUUGCACUUUUUUAAGAAGGAAGAAAUGAAUAACAAGGAACAUGUUAAUUAAUAGGACUAACUUGUUAAAAUCACAACAAUUUAGUAAUCAUGCUAAAAAUCCAAUUUAGUAAGAACAUGGCUAUAAUGGGUAACAAUUAUCUAGUCCUUGUAAUUGAUAGACAUCAUUCUUUUGGCCACUAGGUCUGAAAAUAACUCACAAACAUUCAGACCAAUGGAGAAACUUGUAUUAGAUGUUCUAUAAAAUGGUUAUUCAUCAUCUAAUUCUCUACAUAAACAAAUAACUACAUAUGGUAAUCAAUAACACCAUUUAGGCUUUCAUUGAUUAGCUCAAUCAAAACUAAAAUGAGCUCAAAUAAAGUUGACCAAGCACUUGUUUUUGUACUGUUUCUUAGGAGACAAGUCUUAUGAUAUCCUUUAAUAAUAAGCACUCUAAUAAGAAUAUUUGGAAGUAGUCAUAUUCUAAGUAUUACAUGUCCACAUAAUAAUAAUUUCAACAUAAUUUGGGUACACACUUCCAAGUGAUCAGUUAAUGUUUAAUUUUACGAUAAAAUAUUUCAUUUUAUUAGUUUAGAGCAAUUAAGGCUUUUGGAAAUAAAAUUAAAUCCUUAAAAACUUGUGAACACCUUUAAUUUUGUCCCAUUGAGGACUAGUUUCUAAUUUUAGUUGUAGUUAUUUUUUAUUUUAAUUUGGUUUUUCCAUAUAUUUUUUGAAAAUUGUCUUGAUAGUUUUUAUUCUUAGAUAUAAUGGUCCAUAAUAUGAAGACAAAGGUCUAGUGCUUGAUUGAUGUUCAAUUUUAUCAAAAUAUGUUUAAAUUGAGUUGACUUAAAGCAAUUAGGGUUUAAAGGACCAAAUUUGAUUAUGAAAUAAAUAUGAGAGACUAAAAUUAAUGAGUAUAGUUAAAAAGGUACAACAGCUUUGGCAGCAUAUGCAACCUUUUCUAGCGGCCAACCCACCCUUCCACGGUGGCGAUCGAUGUAUCUUAGAAUUCUUUUUUGCAAGGGUAAUUAACACAUGUAUUCUUAUUCUUGGUGGUGUGUCGUUAGCGUUAUUUUUUUAUUUUAUUUUAUUUAUAUUUUUCCUCUCUUUUCUUUAAAAUUCAUGCUAGCCAUUUCAAAUUUCGUAGUUGUCUCCUUGUUUUAGUAUUAUUUCAAAUUCGAAUCUUUUUUUAUUACUAAGUUUUUGUUCUAGAUCUUUUUUUAAAAUGUAAAAUUGUUUUCAAUUUUCUCAUUCAAUAAAAAAUUACAAGUUGUCCUUUUUUUUAUUUUUAAAAUUUGGUCCAUAUUUUUUUAAUUCCUAUUUUUAGUUUUUGAUCCUAUAGUGAAAUUAAAUUUUCCUUUCAUUUUCAUCAUCUAAUUUGUUUUUAUUUCUAAUUCUAUUCUUAUUCUUUUGGUUGGCCUUGAUCUCUUUUUCUGUCCUUCUAGGGUGCUGUAAUCACCAUCAACAAAGUGGCCUUUUAAGGAAGAAGUGGCUCAAAUUGUUUAUAUAGUUGGGUUACAUUUUAAUAUAGUCAUGUAUUUGAAAAAGUAUUUAGUUAAUUAAUAUAUAUAUAUAUUACUAAAAAUUCUUUUAAAAUUUUAAUUAAAAUAUAAUAUAAUUUAUAACUUUUUUUAAAUGUAUUUUUUUAAAUCACAUAUCUAUCACAAAGAAAGAUCUUUUCAUAAAUCCCAACUUUCGCAAGAAUAUUAAUCAUGAGUCCUUACAUGUCCUCUUCCUUGUUGAAUUCUACGGCCUUCGAAUGUCAUGUCUAUGCCGAUUUACUCGGGUAUUUCUUUAUGCAUGCAUGCAAAAUAAUAUAAUAAUUAAUUAUUAGUUUAUAGAGGCUGAUAAAUAAAUAAAAUAUAUAGUUUAUUGAGUUUCCAAAACAAAACAAUCGCAUCUUGUGGUCAUCAACCAAAUCUAAUACUGUUUGGAAAAACACUGUUCAUGUAGAUUAAUAAGUACUAUUUAUUAAAACAAAGUAUUAAUGAUAGUUUUGCUUUUCUCGUAAAAGAAUUUGAACCAGUUAUUUAAGAUACUUUCACAAGUUUCAUUUAUUAUUAUCAAGUCAAAUUAAUAAGUGUUUUUGUAUUUUGAAAUCAUAGUAAAAUAAUUAAAAUAUGUUUACAUGUAAAAAAUUAUAAACUAAUGUCCAAGUGCUUUUUAGUAUUUUUACACUAGUUUUUUCAUUAUUAUUAGGUUAGUUGAAGGAAAAACUAGUAUUUUAAUAAAUAAAAAAUAUUAUUUAAAAACAAAAAACGACUAGCCUAUGUAAUGCUUGUGCAAGCAUAUAAGCGGCGCUAGCUACACUCAAGUGGCAUCUCUCAACGAUCAAACAUUAGUUUUUGCCAUGUCAUUGGAAGCACUGCAACAUACUCUUCCUUUAAGAACGACACAUGGUGUUAUUGGGGUGGCGGUGUGAUGUUGGUGACUUUUUUUUCUUCUCAUUCCACUUUACUCUUUCCUCCUCUUGAAAAUCGUGUUGGCCAUGCGAAAUUUCAAAGUUGUCAUCUAAUUUAUUGAGAUGUCAAAUUUAUUAUUUAUUAUUUUGAUUUAUUAUUUUUGUUUUUGGUCAUUUUGUGAAAUUUUGAGUUAUUUUUAAUUUUAUCUUUCAAUCUCAAUUUGUGAUAUAUUAUGUUUUUUUUCAAUUUAGUCUUCAUUCUUUUUGAUAGUUUUAUUUUGAGUCCUUUUGUUAAAUUGAAUUUUCUUUUCAAUUUCACCCUUCAAUUAAAAAAAAAUUUAUUUUUUUUAUUUUAAUUUUGAUCCUCAUUCCUUCAAUUACUAUUUUUUUUUUUCUAAAUAAUUGAUUUUUCUUUUUUUCAUUUUUAAAUUUUAUCAAAAACGCACGUGAUUAGUUGUUGUCAAACUAUCUAGUGCUAAGAAUUCGAAAGUCAAGUACCCUGCAAUAUGAAAGAACUCUGAAAACACACACCAGAGACAUGCAUGUUCUGCUUUAUAUUUAACCAAAGUCGUUACAAGAGAGAGGAGAAAGAGCUUAUCUAUUUGUUACAAGAGAUACAAAUUACAUGAGAUUUAAAUACCCUCCAGUUUGAACUGGAUGUGAUCCUAUUCUCCACCCAUAAAAAUUAUAAGGAAUUUAAUGGGAUUUGCAAGCAGGACAGACAUUACUGAAAAUCUAGAGUAACAAAGUACUUGCCAAUAAUAAAAGAGGAUUGGAAUGUGAUGAUGGUUAUGAAAAUCCAGUACGUUCUUGCACCGUGAUUGCCAGGAUGAAUGUAUAUGCUAAACCCAUGAAGGAAAGGCCACAUAUGAUACAAUAUGUCGCCAUGUCCAUGCUUAUUCUUACAUUACCGGUACGACCUAAUGAUAUCCGACAAAGGAUUAUAGCGGCGAUGAGGGAGAAAUUCAUAGCUAGCAUGUCAAAAAAAAUAUAAGCUCUCAUCAGAUAUUUUGAAGUACCACUGCUAAGAUCAGAACCUGAUCCAGGCACAGUGAUAGCACCAGCGAAGGUUACUCCAGCUACCAGUACUGCCACCACGAGAAGAUUCCCUACCCCUCUGUUCCGUUCCUCCGUCGUUAACGUCGUUCUUGGUGAAUCAAAGAUAAGAUUGAUGCCAAACUCAUUCUUAUCAUUUCCUCCACCAAAACUUUUAAUACCUCACGCUGAACAACAAAAUGUUAAUUAGAAAAUAUAUGGUAAACAAAUUAAUUAUAUAAAGCAUCAUGACAAUGUUAUCUUAAUAUCCCAUAAUAACGAAGAAGUAACUCAUCGCAAUAUAUUUAGUAGAUCAGCGAGGCAUUCCAUAUUUUUGAGCAAGUAAAGAACUUUAUUUCCACUUUGGAUUAAUCAAAUUUUAGGUAAUUAAAAGAAAUCUAUCAUUCCCUUUUCUAUAAAGUUGCAACAUGGACAGAAUGUGGAUGUGAAAGUUUUUGCUAGACUAGAAUGUAUUUACUUCAAUCACCUGAUUAGCUUCUUACGUGGACGAAACCCUCUGGUAUUGAUGAAUAUAAAAGAAUUAAAUGUGACUGAGGUUUUGAAAAUUAAAAAAUCUUUUUAAAUGAGUAUUGAUUGUUCCUAUAUAUGCAAUUACUAGAAGCUGGAUUGUGGAGUAUAAUGCCAUUACUAGAAGCUUAUUGGCAUAUGGAAAAAACUAGAGAGUAUUUAUGCUUCUAGACCCAUGACUAAUCGUUUUCUUUUGAAGUUAGAUUUGUACUCUUGAGGAUGGAUGAAGGAAUGGGUAUACACAAGAGUUAAAAGGUUGACAACACAAGUAGUCAAUAUUAGAAAAAACAAAAUUGGGGAAAAAGAGCGAAACCUCAUUCUACAAGCCAUUGGUGCAAACAAUACUAGUUAAAAGGAUAACUUUAGGUUUAAUCUUACUAGAUAGAAUAAAAGGUUUUGAAAGGUAACGAGGCAUUGGUGAUGGAAGGUAAUCUAGGAAAUAAAAUUAUGAUUGUCAUGGGAGGAACAUGGCAUAAAGAGGUAGAUUUGGUAUAAAAAACUCUAUUUGAGAUUCUAGAUCUAGAGUGGAAUACAAUAUUAAUAUUUUUAUUGUCAUUGCAAAAUACUAGUUAAAAGGAUAACUUUAGGUUUAAAUGAUACAACUAUAAUUUUAUUGGAGAAUGAUAGGUUUUGAAAAUAGAAAACAAUGUCAAAAGGUAACGAGGCAUUGGUUAUGGGAGGUGGUCCUGUAAUUUACCAUGAAAGAUGGGAGCAAAGUGUUGAAUAUUAAACUCAAUCCAGAAGCUCCCAGAAGGUCAAGGAAGACAACCAGCCACCAGCCACCAGUCGCCGACCAGCCGCCAGCCGCCUUCACACUUGAAGGUUGAAUUUUCUAGUUUUUGAUUUCGUGUAUAAAUAGAGUGCCUAGCUUCUGUUAAUGUGUGUGGAGAGAAUUGAGAGCAAACACUAGAAAGAGAAAUAGAGAGAGAGAGGGCAUGUACUGUUAAGCUUUUGUUAAUUAAUUGUAAGCUUGUGUUUUUGUAACAAAACUUUGUGUUUUAUCCCCUCUGAGUGUUUCAAAGUCACCACCAGUGGUUUCUCCCAUGCACCAACAAUUAGUAUCAGAGCCCCGUUCGUCAGAAAACAGAAGUGUUUUGGGGUACAUCCGAAUUUUCAAAGUUGUCAAAAACAAGUUUUGAUCAUUCCACAGUGAAGAGCUCAUCAAUACGAACUCACUGUCGCAAGAAUCAGCCUUAUCGGAGUCCGCGGUGAUCCACACGCGCCGCCUGAAGAUCCGGUGACUGUAUCCCAUGCGCAUCCACGCGCGCCAUAUUUGAGCCGCGCCGAGCCCGAGCCGCGCCGCAAGCCGAGCCGUCCUCCGCACCGAGAGAAUAUUCCCCAAAAUAUUCCCCGAAUAUUCCUGGUUCAACCUAGCGAACCGCCCGCCGUACAGAAUUGGUUUUUUGACCGGUUCACCCAUUUUCUGACCCGAAUUCAACAAAGUCAGACCGGUUCCCUGCUAUUUGGAUCAUUCCAGAUCGAUCUACAAUGUCCGUUUGGCCAAAUUCGGCUCCUAGAAAGGUGAUAUAAUCAUUCAAAGAGCAAAAUGACUACAGAAGAUACACAUACACUCAUUCCAAAGCUGACCAAAGACAACUAUGAUAGUUGGUGCAUCAGAUUGAAGGCAUUCCUUGGGUCACAAGAGUGUUUGGAUAUUGUACAAACUGGUUAUGAUGAAUCAGAGUCCAAAGAAAGAGAAGAUGUUUUAUAAGAGGCACAAAAGCAAGCUCUUAAAGUCAACAGAAAGAAAGACAACAAAGCAAAGACCAUCAUCUAUCAGGGUCUUGAUGAAGACACAUUCGAGAUCAUAGCUUCCGCUGAAACAUCACAUGAUAUAUGGAGGCUCUCCAACAGAAAUACAAAGGUGCUGACAGAAUUAAAAAAAUUCGUCUUCAAUCUUUGCGAGGUGAAUUUGAGUUAUUGCAAAUGAAGUCCUCGGAGUCUAUUUCUGAUUAUCGCACAAGGAUUAUGGUGAUAGUCAACCAGAUGAGGAGAAAUGGAGAAGCCAUCGUCGAUUCUCGAAUUACUGAGAAAAUUUUGAGAUCGCUAGAUCCAAAAUUCGAUUUUGUUGUUGUCGCAAUUGAAGAAUCUAAAGAAGUGGACAAGUUGACAGUUGAUGAACUUAUGAGUUCUUUGCAAGCUCAUGAGCAGAAAAUUGUAAAGGGAAAUGGAGAUAAGGCAAUUGAGCAUGCCUUACAAGCAAAGCUGUCUCUCAAGGACAAAUAUGAGCAAGGGGAGACUUCAACAAAUGGAUAUACCACUCAAGCAGGAAGUCAACAAUCCAGAGGAGGAUUCCAGAGAUUCCAAGGAAGAGGUUCUUGGAAUACAAGCUUUAGAGGAAGAGGUGGCAGAAACAUCAUUAGAGGAGAUCGAGGACAACAAGCAUUCAAUCCUAGAGGAAGAGGGGGCGAUUACAAUAACCAUGACAAGAGGAAUAUCCAAUGUUAUAGUUGCAAUCAAUUUGGGCACUAUAGCACUGAAUGCAGAAGGAAAGCUCUAUUGGAGAUACGUGAGCAAGCCAACUAUGCAGAGAAGGAUGACAGAGAAGAAGCUGCAUUUCUUGUCCAACAAGAACAAAAUUAAGAUAAGGAAAUGAAAUAUUAUAGUUUUACAAUAAUAUAAUUGUUUUUUGCAUUAUACUUACCUAAUUACAAUGUGGUUUUCCCACACAUUUCUUACAACCCCCUCAUUUUCCUUGUCCUGGUAAUUUUUUUUCCUUGUAGUCAAACAUUAGUUAUUUUUAAAAAAAUUUUAAAAACUAUAUAUUAACUCAAUGUAUAUAUUAUUUAUUUAACCAUUAACUUUUCCCAAAAACAUCUACUAUAAUCAUACAUUUAGAAUGAUCUUAAAGUUGACUCUAUUAAAACAAUGGUUUUUCAAAAACAAAUUUAAGAUUAAUUGUAUUAAAGAGAAAAACUAUAAAAAAAAAACACAAAAAGUGUACCUAAGAUGUACAUCAUCUUGUAACCCAAAUCAAAUUGACCUUAGACAAUAGGGAAAAAAACAAAAGCUAAAAAAAAUUAAAAAUUUCUGAAAACAAGACUGCUUGAAUAAUAGCAUAGAAAAUCAAUUCAUCAAAAUCAUUUAAUGUAAAACUUAAAAUAAUCUAUUACAAAUAAAUAACUUCAAUGGUAAGAGAAAAAACAUGACUUACAUUGUGUCGUUGGCUUUUUAUGUUGCAAUAAGUUUUCUUGAUACAGGGUCUCUAGAAGAAGGGAUUCUACCUUUUUUGUUUGUGAAAUUCAUUGUUGUAAAUGAGAUCAUUGCAUAAUUAGUUGGCAUCAAAGGACAUAAUAAUCUCUCUCUUUGUAUGAUUAAUAGAAAUGAUACUGUGAAUCUGUAAAUUAUGCCAAAAACGCUUUAUUCUGUUUCUAAAGGACUCGAGGCUAUUGCUCUAAGAGUUGAAGUGCCUAUGUUCAAAAUCAUUUUAAAAUUACCUGCAUUAUUGCAUUUUUGUUCCACUAGAAAUUGUUUCUGAUGUUUUUGACAUCUACAAAUACUGCAAGGUCCUAUCCUGGUACUACUACAUCUGCUUGGUGUGGCCUUGUUAAGUUAACUGGGUAUUUGCAUAAUGUUUCCAGGCUGAUGCUUUUGAAAGCCAGCGUGGACAAUGCAUUGAUAUCACCUGGAAAGUGAUAAUUUAUUUAAAUAAAACAGACUUUACCAAGGUGAUGGAAACAAUGCUAUACUGCCCUGACAAAUAAAUGUAUAAAUGACAUGCGAGAGUUAAACUGGUUUUGCUUACACCAUUGUGCAUAGAACUGCUUAUUUCCUUUUCUGAAGAAUGUUCUUUGUACGCUUAAUUGAACUAGUCUCUUUAAGUGUUCAAUGGUUCUCACCAACCAUUUGUCAAAGAAAUAAAGAAGUCUGUUAAUUUUAUUGGUUUGCCAUUCCAACAGGGGCUGGAUCCCCUUUAAAUUGUGCAUGCAACUUGUUAGCAAACCUCUUAUUUUGGUAGGCAGAGUUUAUCCGUGUUGUGACUUCAGAUAAUAACAAUGACUGAUUUGGUCAAUCUCUCAAAAAGUUUUCUGUAUUCCCGAGAGUAAUAAUCCUAAUCAUCAUUUUAGGUUAGUUGACAGAAUAUCUUUCUUGGUUAUUUCUUAGUUCAUAUGAACCAAACCUGCCUCAUUCCUCCCCUCAUGCGAGGUAGUUAAGUAGUGUAUGAGCCCUAGUACUGGUUUCAAGAUAUGACUUAUCACUGUGUAUAUGUCUGUAGUUAGUUUAGCUGAGAGUUCAAACAAGUGUUUAUGGUGUUAAACGUUUUUCAAUCAUAAAUUGUUUUGCAGAUAUAAUUGAUGAAUUGGUGAAGAAUGGGAAAGAGAUAAGGCUGUAUAUUUUGCUUCUGAAUCUGGUUUGACGAAAAGAUUUUCUCCUGUAUCUCUACUCAAGUCAUAUCUUAAGAAUUCCAAGAAGAUCACAACUACUGUCUUGAAGAAUGGCAAUUAUAGUGUAGCUGCAACGGUGUGUCUAAUCUCUAUCUACAUUGUGUAAUUCUAAUGACAUGAAAUAUUUGAGUCUUAUUAAUUUUUUUGCAGGAUGAGUCAAGUACCUUGGAGUUGAAUUCUAUUAAAGCAAUCAUCAAAUGUGUGGAAGAUCAUAAGCUUGAAUCAGAAUUUUCCCUUGACAGCUUGAGAAAACGGGCUUCUCUGCUUGAAAAAACCAAAGCAGAGAGGAAGAGGGGUACAUCAUCAGCUGCCACUGCUACCAAGUCUCAAAACAAGCGAGGCCAUGGUUCAAGUGGUGGCCGGGACAGUGGACCUACUCCUUAUCGUCAAGCCAAAGCUGCCAAAUUUUCAAACAAUUAUUCCUCUUUCAGCCGCAGGAAUGCUCCUCUCCCUGCACAGCAUAGCCCGGCUAGAAGAUAUUCAGGGCCAUUCCACUACCCUAGCCAGAGUGUCUACGAGGGCCCCGCAGCAGCCCCGUAUGCAUCAACUUAUGGUAUCUCGCACGCUCAAAGCCCUUCUGCAAUCUCUCAACAACCCUACCAUCACUCUCAAAGCCCCAGUGCAAUUCCUCAACAACUCUACUCACAGCCAGCGGAGAACAUGAGUGCUGCCGGUUUCCGUGCCAGUGGUUCUUAUGGAAGCCAGACCGGGUUACGGGGCAUAUGAUUACGGCUCUGCUGCACCCGUUACUUACCAACCUUCAUCCUACACUCAAUAAGAUGGGAGGAACCUAGCCAGGUGUUAAGAUUCUUAUUUUUAUUUGGUGUCUGAUUUCUGGAUGUGGCCCUCUAAUUUUGGGACCCGCCCCCUUCAUCUCCCUUUCCCGUAUAAAAGUUUUUUUUUGGUCUUAUCUCAUGACUGGAUAUGAUGCCCAUGCCUGUAACGCUGAUUACCUUUAUAUGGAGCUCAAGCUGGAUGUGAUUUCCGUGCUGUGAGUUUUAAAUGGUUUGGCUAUCGAGCAUUGUGAUUACUCUCAUGAUUGGAGUCGCCAUUGGGCGCCUAUGCUUGUUUUUUUGCUAAAUUUUGGCAUGCCUAAUAGACUAAUUUGUUAAAUCACAACAAUUUAGUAAUCAUGCUAAAAAUCCAAUUUAGUAAGAACAUGGCUAUGAUGGGUAACAAUUAGCUAGCCCUUGUAAUUGAUAGACGUCAUUCUUUUGGCCACGAGAGGUCUGAAAAUAACUCACAAACAUUCAGACCAAUGGAGAAGCUUGUAUUACAUGUUCUAUAAAAUGGUUAUUCAUCAUCUAAUUCUUUAUAUAAACAAAUAACUACACAUGAAUAGAACAAUAAUGUUCCCUUAUAGUUUAUAAUAUUGCCACCUUUGUGAGUAUCAUUACCUUUGUGAAUAUCAUUUUGCCUCUACCAUCACAACCUCACAGUUAAUUUUUUUUUUCAUCAUUCAAUUUUUUUUUAAAAUUAGUCUUAUAAUUUGUUUUUUCAAUUCAGCUAUCCCCGAUUUCAUUACCAGAACUACAUGUUUGAUGAAUUUUUUUUGGGUCGCUGUUUUUUUAUUUAAAAUUUUAUUAGUUUCAUCCUUGAACAUUUGGUUCCUUUAGAAUUGAUUAUUGUAAUCAUUCUAAAGACAUGCAUAAAUUGUUUUAAGGCCUUAAAGUGCAUCUUCAUUCAUCUCAGAAACUGAAAAAAUAAAAAAAAAUCAAAUAAAAGAAACCUAAUUAUUUUUCCUGGCCUUGAUCUCUUUUUCUUUGUCCUUCUAGGGUGGUGUAAUCACCAUCAACAAAAUGGCCUUUUAAGGAAGAAGGGGACACUGGACACCAUUAUAGCAGGUUGCAAUGUCAGGAUCUAGAGGAAAGUUUCUCUCCUCGCCUAUCUCUCCUCGGUCCUGUCUCCGAUCUUUACAUACAGGGACUGAAUUUUAAAAAUAGUGUGUUUGUUUUUUAAAUAGGUUUUGUGGUUUUGAUUUUAAAAAAAUAAAUUUAAAAAAAGUGUGGUUAACUAUGAUUAGUUAAAUUUAAAUACGUGUUUAGUAAAAAUUAUAGUUGAAGUUUAUGUGUAACAAAAAUAAUGUAUAAAAUAUUUGGUGGAAGUAUAGUUGCCGUUGUUUUUUAAAGUGUUUUUUACUUGGAAAUGUAUCAAAAUAAUUUUUUUAAAAAAAUUAUUUUUGAUAUCAGCAUUGAUUUGAAAACAAAAAAAAUAUAUCAAUUUGAAGCAAAGAAAAAAAUAAAAAAAUUUAUUUUUUUCAAAAGCGCUUUUGAAACAUAAAAAUAAAUAGGGUUUUAUGAAACUCAAUUAAAAAAUCAUGUAAAAACUACUACAUAAAAAUUACGUUUCAAACUCAACUUUUUAGUAAGUCCCGCAUUACAAACCAAAGUUUAGUUUGUUAAUUACCAAACACUUUGCCAUGUUUGUUUCACCACAAACAAAAAACCAGUGAAGAAAUCCUAAAUAUCUAAAUAAUUUAUACAUGUUUUUUACUACACAUAACCUUUAACUAUAAUUUUUAUUAAACACAUAUUUAAAUUCAAUUAAUUACAAUUGACUCUAUUUAAAAAAAAAAACUUAUUUUUUUAAAUUAAAAUCUCAAAAACUAUCUAAAAAAUAAAGAAACGAGUGAGGAUGUUGAUGAUGCCAAGCAAGUCAGUGUAAAGUGGAAAUCUUGACAAGAUGUUGUAGCCUUCAUAAAAAGUACAAUGCAGUACAAAACGAGAGGUGAAUGUUUGAGAUUGUUAUAAUUUUUAAUUUUAUAUGAUUUUUAAAAGUAUAUUUUAUUUUAAAAAUAUAUUAAAUUAAUAUUUUUUUAAUAAUUUUUUCUAAAACAUAUUUUUCUAAAACAUAUUUUUAAAAAUAAUUUCCAUCACAACACUAAAAACAUAUAAAUAUUUAUCAUAGUAACAAGAAGUGAUAAUAUUUGAUGUAAAAACGGCUGAAUGUAUAUGUCAUGUUUCGAGAAGCGUCCAUGAUUAUAUCAUUAUGAUCCCAAAAAGAAAAAUAUUAAAUAUUAGGCUACAAUUAUUUAUAUACAGUUUUAAAACCUGGACCGGCCCGGCAGGUCAACUCGGGCCGAGACCGGUCCAGGUAGAGGCAAAAAUCUACUUGGAAAUUGACUCGGUAAAACCCGGUCGAUCUGCCGGGUUGACCCCGUGACCUGGACCACCCGGUCAAACCCGGCUGACACAUGAUCUCUCUUUCUCUCUUUCUCUAUAUAUAUAUAUAGACGUUAAACGACGUCGUUUUGGCCUUAAAAGGCCAAAACGAUGAACAAUGACGAAGCAGAAUUGGGGACACAUUGAUUACAGAGCAAACCCAAUUAACGAAAGAUUCCAUCACAGCCAAUGCAACUACAGUCUGGUCUAUAAGCUUUUGGCUUUCUUCUUUGCUCUUGCCAAUUAGGAUUUUUGCGUUUCGAGUGAUCGAUUUGCCCAUCAAAGUUGAAGUGAAGGGAGUGAGUUGGUUACAGAGAGAACUCCAUUCUAGGAUUUUAAGGGUUUUGAGUUGGAGUGAGCGAGCUGGAGGAGUGAGUUUCGGUGAGUGUGAAUCAAAGGGUUUUGUUAGGGCUUUGGUGGAGAAGGGUGGUUUGGUGGUGAAGAAGAGAAUCGGGGAUUUUUUAAUGGCUAUUAAAUGAUUGGAGAGUUUGAUUAAUGAAGGAUUUUUGAGGGAGAGAAGGAAAGGGAUGGGCUGUUUGACAACAACUUAUCCUUUUUAUUUUCAGCUUAUCUUUUAUUUUAGGUUGACUUGUUUUUAGGUUGACUCGUGUCAAUCAAUCUAACUCGUGAUUCGAUCACUUGACUAGAUUGAUAUCCGGAUCGAUUUUUAAAAUUAUGAUUUCUAUAAUUAGGUUACAUUUCGUUAUAGUCAUGUAUUUGAAAAAAUAUUUAGUUAAUAAAUAUAUAUAUAUAUAUAUAUAUAUAUAUAUGUUUUACUAAAAAUUAUUUUAAAAUUUUAAUUAAAAUAUAAUAUAUUUUAUAACUUUUUUUAAAAUGUAUUUUUUAAAAUCACAUAUCUAUCACAAAGAAAGAUCUUUUCAUACAUCCCAACUUUAGGCUAGAAGAUAUUCAGGGCCAUUCCACUACCCUAGCCAGAGUGUCUACGAGGGCCCCGCAGCAGCCCCGUAUGCAUCAACUUAUGGUAUCUCGCACGCUCAAAGCCCUUCUGCAAUCUCUCAACAACCCUACCAUCACUCUCAAAGCCCCAGUGCAAUUCCUCAACAACUCACUCACAGCCAGCGGAGACAUGAGUGCUGCCGGUUUCCGUGCCAGUGGUUCUUAUGGAAGCCAGACCGGUUACGGGGCAUAUGAUUACGGCUCUGCUGCACCCGUUACUUACCAACCUUCAUCCUACACUCAAUAAGAUGGGAGGAACCUAGCCAGGUGUUAAGAUUCUUAUUUUAUUUGGUGUCUGAUUUCUGGAUGUGGCCCUCUAAUUUUGGGACCCGCCCCCUUCAUCUCCCUUUCCCGUAUAAAAGUUUUUUUUUGGUCUUAUCUCAUGACUGGAUAUGAUGCCCAUGCCUGUAACGCUGAUUACCUUUAUAUGGAGCUCAAGCUGGAUGUGAUUUCCGUGCUGUGAGUUUUAAAUGGUUUGGCUAUCGAGCAUUGUGAUUACUCUCAUGAUUGGAGUCGCCAUUGGGCGCCUAUGCUUGUUUUUUUGCUAAAUUUUGGCAUGCCUAAUAGACUAAUUUGUUAAAUCACAACAAUUUAGUAAUCAUGCUAAAAAUCCAAUUUAGUAAGAACAUGGCUAUGAUGGGUAACAAUUAGCUAGCCCUUGUAAUUGAUAGACGUCAUUCUUUUGGCCACGAGAGGUCUGAAAAUAACUCACAAACAUUCAGACCAAUGGAGAAGCUUGUAUUACAUGUUCUAUAAAAUGGUUAUUCAUCAUCUAAUUCUUUAUAUAAACAAAUAACUACACAUGAAUAGAACAAUAAUGUUCCCUUAUAGUUUAUAAUAUUGCCACCUUUGUGAGUAUCAUUACCUUUGUGAAUAUCAUUUUGCCUCUACCAUCACAACCUCACAGUUAAUUUUUUUUUUCAUCAUUCAAUUUUUUUUUAAAAUUAGUCUUUAUAAUUUUGUUUUUCAAUUCAGCUAUCCCGAUUUCAUUACCAGAACUACAUGUUUGAUGAAUUUUUUUUUGGGUCGCUGUUUUUUUUAUUUAAAAUUUUAUUAGUUUCAUCCUUGAACAUUUGGUUCCUUUAGAAUUGAUUAUUGUAAUCAUUCUAAAGACAUGCAUAAAUUGUUUUAAGGCCUUAAAGUGCAUCUUCAUUCAUCUCAGAAACUGAAAAAAUAAAAAAAAAUCAAAUAAAAGAAACCUAAUUAUUUUUCCUGGCCUUGAUCUCUUUUUCUUUGUCCUUCUAGGGUGGUGUAAUCACCAUCAACAAAAUGGCCUUUUAAGGAAGAAGGGGACACUGGACACCAUUAUAGCAGGUUGCAAUGUCAGGAUCUAGAGGAAAGUUUCUCUCCUCGCCUAUCUCUCCUCGGUCCUGUCUCCGAUCUUUACAUACAGGGACUGAAUUUUAAAAAUAGUGUGUUUGUUUUUUAAAUAGGUUUUGUGGUUUUGAUUUAAAAAAAUAAGUUUAGAAAAAGGUGUGGUUAACUAUGAUUAGUUAAAUUUAAAUACAUGUUUAGUAAAAAUUAUAGUUGAAGUUUAUGUGUAACAAAAAUAAUAUAUAAAAUAUUUGGUGGAAGUGUUGGUUGUUUGUUUUUUACUUGGAAAUACAUCAAAAUAAUUUUUUUUUAAUUAUUUUUUAUAUCAGCAUUGAUUUGAAAACAAAAAAUAUAUCAAUUUGAAGCAAGGAAAAAAAUAAAAAAAUUUAUUUUUUUCAAAAGCGUUUUGAAACGUAAAAAUAAAUAGGGUUUUAUGAACUCAAUUAAAAAAUCAUGUAAAAAUACUACAUAAAAAUUGCGUUUCAAACUCAAUUUUUUAUAAGUCCCGCAUUACAAACCAAGUUUGGUUUGUUAAUUACCAAACACUUUGCCAUGUUUGUUUCACCGCAAACAAAAAACCAGUGAAAAAAUCUAAAUAUCUAAAUAAUUUAUACAUGUUUUUUACUACACAUAAAAUUUAACUAUAAUUUUUAUUAAAUACAUAUUUAAAUUCAAUUAAUUACAAUUGACUCUAUUUAAAAAAAACUUAUUUUUUUAAAUUAAAAUCUCAAAAACUAUCUAAAAAAUAAAGAAACGAGUGAGGAUGUUGAUGAUGCCAAGCAAGUCAGUGUAAAGUGGAAAUCUUGACAAGAUGUUGUAGUCUUCAUAAAAAGUACAAUGCAGUACAAAACGAGAGGUGAAUGUUUGAGAUUGUUAUAAUUUUUAAUUUUAUAUGAUUUUUAAAAGUAUAUUUUAUUUUAAAAAUAUAUUAAAUUAAUAUUUUUUUAAUAAUUUUUUAUAAAACAUAUUUUUAAAAAUAAUUUCCAUCACAACACUAAAAACAUAUAAAUAUUUAUCAUAGUAACAAGAAGUGAUAAUAUUUGAUGUAAAAACGGCUGAAUGUAUAUGUCAUGUUUCGAGAAGCGUCCAUGAUUAUAUCAUUAUGAUCCCAAAAAGAAAAAUAUUAAAUAUUAGGCUACAAUAUUUAUCAUAAUUUUAAAACUCGGACCGGCCCGCAGGUCGACUCGGGUCUGGAACCGGUCCAAGUGGAGGCAAAAAUCCACUUGGAAAUUGACUCGGUGAAACCUGGUCGAUCUGCGGGUCGACCCGUGACCCGGAUCACCCGGUCAAACCCGGCUGACACUUGACUCUCUCUCUUAUAUAUAUAUAUAUAUAUAGACGUUAAAAGACCGUUUUGGCCUUUUAAAAGGCCAAAACGAUUAACAAUGACGAAGCAGAAUUGGGACACAUUGAUUACAGAGCAAACCCAAAUAACGAAAGAUUCCAUCACAGCCAAUGCAACUACAGUCUGGUCUAUAAGCUUUUGGCUUUCUUCUUUGCUCUUGCCAAUUAGGAUUUUUGCGUUUCGAGUGAUCGAUUUGCCCAUCAAAGUUGAAGUGAAGGGAGUGAGUUGGUUACAGAGAGAACUCCAUUCUAGGAUUUUAAGGGUUUUGAGUUGGAGUGAGCGAGCUGGAGGAGUGAGUUUCGGUGAGUGUGAAUCAAAGGGUUUUGUUAGGGCUUUGGUGGAGAAGGGUGGUUUGGUGGUGAAGAAGAGAAUCGGGGAUUUUUUAAUGGAUAAAUGAUUGGAGAGUUUCAUUAAUGAAGGAUUUUUGAGGGAGAGAAGGAAAGGGAUGGCUGUUUGGACUUAUCCUUAUUUCAGCUUAUUUUUUUUUUAGAGUUUAUGCCGUGUCAAUCAUCUGACUCGUGAUCCGAUCACUUGACUAGAUUGAUAUCCGGAUCGGGUUUCAAAACUAUGAUUUCUAUAAUUAGGUUACAUUUCGUUAUAGUCAUGUAUUUGAAAAAUAUUUAGUAUUAUAUAUAUAUAUAUAUAUAUAUAUAUAUGUUUUACUAAAAAUUAUUUUAAAAUUUUAAUUAAAAUAUAAUAUAUUUUAUAACUUUUUUUAAAAUGUAUUUUUUAAAAUCACAUAUCUAUCACAAAGAAAGAUCUUUUCAUACAUCCCAACUUUAGGCUAGAAGAUAUUCAGGGCCAUUCCACUACCCUAGCCAGAGUGUCUACGAGGGCCCCGCAGCAGCCCCGUAUGCAUCAACUUAUGGUAUCUCGCACGCUCAAAGCCCUUCUGCAAUCUCUCAACAACCCUACCAUCACUCUCAAAGCCCCAGUGCAAUUCCUCAACAACUCUACUCACAGCCAGCGGAGAACAUGAGUGCUGCCGGUUUCCGUGCCAGUGGUUCUUAUGGAAGCCAGACCGGUUACGGGGCAUAUGAUUACGGCUCUGCUGCACCCGUUACUUACCAACCUUCAUCCUACACUCAAUAAGAUGGGAGAAACCUAGCCAGAUGUUAAGAUGAAGACAAAGAUCUGGUGCUCGAUUGAUGUUCAAUUUUAUCAAAUUAUGUUUAAAUUAAGUUGAUUUAAAGCAAUUAGGCCUUAAGGAAUCAAAUUUGAUUAUGAAACAAAUAUGGGAGACUGAAAUUAAUGGGUAUAGUUAAAAAGACACAGUAGCUGUGGCAGCGUAUGCAAUCUUUUCUAGCGGCCAACUCACCCUUCCAUGGUAGCGAUCGAUGCAUCUUAGAAUUCUUUUUCUGCAAUGGUAACACAUGUGUCGCCUAAUUUUUGGUUAUUUUUAUUUUAAUUAUUUUAUUUACCGAAAAGGAUAAAAUGAUGAUAAAAAAAAUAAUAAUGAUGAAAAACAAGUAAAAUAAAGAAUAAAUUAAAAUUUAGGUUAAGGACAACAUGAUGGAAAGUUUUGGGGUUUAAUUAAACUUUGGAAUUAAUCUAAUUAAUCCAAUCAAGGGCUUAAUUGGAGAAUUGAUAAGUUUUAAGACUUAAUUGAGCUUGAAAUUAAUUUAAUUAAUCCAAUCAAUGUUUUAAUUGGAGAAUUGAUAAGUUUUUGGACUUAAUUGAGCUUGGAAUUAAUUUAAUGAAUGAAAUCAAGGACGUAAUUGAAGAAAUAUCAAAGUUUGGGGUUAAUUGGGGUACAAUUUGCAAGAAAUGAAAACGCAAGGACCAAUGUGUAAAUUGCAAUGAGAUGCAGGGGUUCAAUUAAAAUUUACCCAACGACUGGACUGCUAAAAUUCAAAAUGACAAGGAUCAAAAUGCAAUUAGCCAUGUCCAUCAACACUAUUCAUCUUUUCCUUCACUCGCCCGAACAAAAACGGAUGCAUCGCCAUUACUCCUGCAAUAACAGUCAAUUUAUUACCUGGUAACGGUGGCAUUCUGUGGCUAUAAAGCCAGAGAGAACAAAGGGGCUAGAGAAGGGGGAACCGAAAAGCCACUGGUGAUCAUAGAACCGAAAAGCCACUGGUGAUCAUAGAACCGUGAGCAGCAGUGGAAGAUCUUCAUCCCCAGCAGCUUCCUCCAUUUCAAGCAGCUCCUCGCCACGGUUAGUCUCCACCCCAACACCAGAUACUCCAAGAUCAGCCACCGUGGGUAGUGUUGCCACCAAUCACCUCACACAGCAUCGUGAACUCCAACAGCAAGGCAACUGUCAGCAGCCUUGCAACAACCAGCAUCUCCCUUCUGCACCGUGAGCUUCAAUCACUCCACCAGCAUCACUAGUUCCAUCGUGACUAGCAUCACCAGCAGCUUAUCUCAGCAAAUCAGUAGCUCAUCACGGUGGCGACUGAUUUUUGAAGAGAGGCUGAAGCGUUCCUCAGCAACUCUUCUAGACAGGGAGGAGAAGAACCCCCAUCUCUUUUGUUCAGACCUCCAUCACCAUCAACCAUCGCCUUUCAUCUUCCAACAAAUAGCGUAAGCAGCAGCACAGGAAGGGAGGACUAGAGAAGACGCAGAACAACAGAAACAGAGGGGGAAACAGUAGCAGUCGGGCAAGCCUCCGUCACCAUCGACAUCGUCUUCGCCUUCACCUCGCAGCUGCGCCACCCCAGCAGCUCUUCCUCACCGUGACAUCCAGCAGUCUUCCCUUGAAGCAGCCGUCUCCCUCAGCCUUGCCAGGUAAGUUCUUCAGCUUUCCUUCUUUUGGUAAAUUAAUUACCUGUUACUGUUGCAUGCAUGCGUGAGUGAUUCACGCAUGCAUGCAACAGUGGCAGCCGGGUCACUGGUUUGGACCAGUGACCCGAACUUUUUUUUUUUUUUUUACCAUGCAACAUCAAUAAACAGAAAAAUAAAAAAAAUAGAAAAAAUAAAAAAUGUGUAUGCAUGAAUAAAAAUAAUGUAAAUUUAUUGGUUUAUUCACUGAAACCAGAGUCAGGAAUAAAAAUACCGGUUUAAAUAUAUAUUAUUUUUAUUCGUUGUAUUUUUAUUUUAUUUAGCUAGAAAAAUAACAAAUAUGUGCAUGAAUAAAAAUAAAUUUAUUUUUAUUUAUUUAUUCACUGGCACUAAAAUAGGGAAUAAAAAAAUAUUGAUUUUUUUUUUCAUAGCUAUGAAUUUUUACCAACGCCAGAGUUGGAAUUAUUCGAGCUCGAAUAUUCACUGGCGUCAGAGUCAGGAAUAUUAUAAAACAAAUCAUCAUAGCAUAAACUAAUAAAUAUUUAGCAAUUUAAGACAUAAACCAGCAAUGCAGUCUGUCUUAGGCAGAACGUUUAAAGGGUGAUAAUAUCUUCCCUUUUAAGUAACUAAUCCCGAGCCAUAGAAUCUCUGUUGACCAGUUAGGGUUCCUAGUAACCAUAAUACUAGGUGACGACUCCUUAAACAAGAUAUUUUCUUUAAAAGAACCGGAUGCCAGAAAUCUGUUCUUUUUCCAUAAUUCAAGAGAAUUAUUUUGAGGGCCGAUGCGAUGUCGGGUGCGACAACAUGUAUUCUUAUUCUUAGUGUUGUGUUGUUGGUGUUAUUUAUUUUAUUUUUUUCCAUAUUUUCCCUCUUUUCUCUUUAAAAUUCAUGAUAGCCAUUUCAAAGUUCAUAGUUGUCUCCUUAUUUUAGUAUUAUUUCAAAUGCAAUCCUUUUUUUAUUACUAAGUUUUUGUUCUAGAUCUUUUUCUAAAAUGUAAAAUUAUUUUCAAUUUUAUCAUUCAAUAAAAAAUUAUAAGUUGUCCUUUCAAUUCAUUUUUAAAAUUUGGUCCAUAUUUUUUUAAUUCCUAUUUUUAGUUUUUGAUCCUAUAGUGAAAUUAAAUUUUCCUUCCAUUUUCAUCAUCUAAUUUGUUUUUAUUUCUAAUUCUAUUCUUAUUCUUUUGGUUUUUUUUUAGAGCCUUUUGUAAAAUUAAAUUUUUUAAAUUAAUUUUUCAGCAUGAGGUUAUUUAAGAAUUGGAUUCCAUGUGUUUUUAUUGAUGGGAUGAUUCAUGACAUGGACCAAGUCAUAUAUUUAAAAAAUUGACCCGGGUUAACAUUGUUCUUUUAUUUAUUGAGUUUUAUUUUUUUUAUACACGUUUUAUUUUUUAUUUUCAUCCUUUAAUUUUUUUUUAAUUGAGCUUUAUGAUUUUUUUUUUAAUUUUCUUUCAAUCAUGUUAUCCUUAUUCAUCUCAGAAACUGAAAAAAAAAAAAAUAAAUGAAACCUAAUUAUUUUUCGUGGCCUUGAUCUCUUUUUCUUUGUCUUUCUAGGGUGCUGUAAUCACCAUCAACAAAGUGGCCUUUUAAGGAAGAAGUGGCUCAAAUUGUUUCUAUAGUUGGGUUACAUUUUAAUAUAGUCAUGUAUUUGAAAAAGUAUUUAGUUAAUUAAUAUUUAUUACAUAUAUAUAUAUAUACACACACAUUACUAAAAAUUAUUUUAAAAUUUUAAUUAAAAUAUAAUAUAAUUUAUAAAUCCCAACUUUCGCAAGAAUAGUAAUCAUGAGUCCUGACAUGUCCUCUUCCUUGUUGAAUUCUACGGGCUUCGAAUGUCAUGUUCAUGCCGAUUUACUAGGGUAUUUCUUUAUGCAUGCAUGCAAAAUAAUAUAAUAAUUAAUUAUUAGUUGAUAGAGGCUGAUAAAUAAAUAAAAAUAUAUAGUUUAUUGAGUUUCCAAAACAAAAUAAUCGCAUCAUGCAUGUGGUCUUCAACCAAAUCUACUACUGUUUGCAAAAAUAGUGUUCAUGUAGAUUAAUAAGGCCAUGUUUGUUUCUCGGAAAGUAGUUUUUAGAAAAUUAUUUUCCAAACUUUCUUGUGUUUGUUUGUCAUUAGAAAAGUUGGUCAACGGAAAACACUUUCCAGUAAAAAAAAAAUUUUAACUUGGUUUUCAGGAAAGUAUUUUCCUUUUAGAUGUGCUUGUUUUCUGGAAAGUGGUUUCCGAGAAAUUACUUUCCAAACUUUCUUGUGUUUGUUUGCCAGUAGAAAAGUUGGUCAAUGAAAAAUACUUUCCAGUAAAAGGAAAAUUUGGCUUGGUUUUCAGAAAAGUGUUUUCCUGAAAAAUUUAAGGGGAAAACACUUUCCGGAAGUUGUGAAAAAUUUAGAAAUGUCAUUAUUUUCUGAUUAUAUCAAAUUUGAUCCUCAAACUUUUGAUUGCUAUAUAUAUUUUGUUUUGAAUAUUUAUUUUUCAAUUUCAUCUCUUAAAAUGUUAUUUUUAUAUUAGCGUUGGUCCUUAUUUUUAUAGUUGCUAUUUGCUUUUUCCUUAUUAUUUUUUUAUUGAAAUUUUUUAUUUAUCAAAUUUGAUCCUCAUUCUUUUUAUUGUUACUUAUUUUAUUUGAAAUAAUUUAUGAAAUGUUGAUUAUUAUUAUUUUAAUUUCUUCAUUUUUUUUUUUUAGAUUUGAUCCCUAUUAUUUUGAUUAUUAUUUAUUUUAUUUGAGAUAAUUUAUGAAAUUAUAUUUUUUUUUUCAAUUUCAUUCUCAUUCAACUUUUUAAUUUGUAAGAUUUGUUCCUCAUUAUUUUAAUAAACUUGAGAAAAAUAAAAUAUUAAUAAGUUAUUUUCUAGCUCAUUUUCCAUGACAUAACCAAACACUGGAAAGUGUUUUCCAACUCAUUUUCCAUUACACUACCAAACAUCGGAAAAUACUUUAUCGGAAUUCACUUUCUCCGGAAUUCACUUUUCAAAAGGAAAACUUUCCAGCAAACAAACGGAGCCUAAGUACUAUUUAUUGAAACAAAGUAAUGAUAUUUUGCUUUUCUUGUAAAAGAAUUUGAACAAGUUAUUUAAGAUAGUUUCACAAGUUUCAUUUGUUAUUAUCGGGUCAAAUUAAUAAGUGUUUUUGCAUUUUAAAAUUAUAGUGAAAUAAUUAAAAUAUUCUUAUAUGUAAAAAAUUAUAAAUUGAUGUCCAAGAACUUUUUAGUAUUUUCACAUUAGUUUUUUCGUUAUUAUUAGGUUAGUUGAAGGAAAAUUUGGUAUUUUAAUAAAUAUAAAAUAUUAUUUAAAAACAAAAAACGGCUAGCCUAUGUAAUGCUUGUGCUAGCGUAUGGGUGGUGCUAGCUCCAUUCGGGUGGCAUCUCUCGACGACCGAACACUAGCUUUUGCCAUGUUAUUAAUUGAAAGCAUUGCAAUAUAAUCUUCCUUUAAGAACGGCACGUUGUGUUAUUGGGGUGGUUAUGUGAUGUUGGUGACCUUUUUUUCUUCUCAUCCCACUUUAGUCUUUCCUCCUUUUAAAAAUCAUGUUGGUCAUGUGAAAUUUUAAAGUUGUCCUUUAAUUUAUUGAGAUGUCAAAUUCAUUAUUAUUUUUUUUGAUAUUUUUUUUUUUGUUCUUGGUUAUUUUGUGAAAUUUUUAGUUAUUUUUAAUUUUAUCCUUCAAUCUCAAUUUGUGAUACAUUAUAUUUUUUUCAAUUUAGUCCUUAUUCUUUUGAUAUUUUUAUUUUUUGAGUCCUUUUAUAAAAUUGAAUUUUCUUUUCAAUUUCAUCCUUCAAUUAAAAAUAAAAUUUAUUUUUUAUUUUAAUUUUAAUUUGCAUUCCUUCAAGUACCCUUUUUUUUAAUCUCUCUGUAUAAUUGAUUUUUCUUUUUUUCAUUUUUAAAUUUUAUCAAAAACGCACGCGAUUCGUUGUUGUCAAACUAUCUAGUGCUAAGAAUUCGAAAGUCAAGUACCCUGCAAUAUGAAAGAACUCUGAAAACACACACCAGAGACAUGCAUGUUCUGCUUUAUAUAUAACCAAAGUCGUUACAAGAAAGAAGAGAAAGUGCUUAUCUAUUUGUUACAAGAGAUACAAAUUACAUGAGAUUUAAAUACAAGAUAAAAUGCCCUCCCGUUUGCAAGCUAUCCAGUUUGAACUGGAUGUGAUCCUAUUCUCUACCCAUAAAAAUAAUACUGAAUUUAAAGGGAUUUGCAGUCAGGACAGACAAUAAUGAUUUUCCAGCUGCAAGCAUCAAUCUAUAGGAAAAACCUAAUUGAUAAUAAUAAAAAAAGGCUUGGAAUGUGAUGAUGGUUAGGAAAAAUCCAGUACGUUCGUGCACCGUGAUUGUCAGCAUGAAUGUAAAUGCUAAACCCAUGCAGAAAAGGGAGUAGAAAUUAAAAUAUGUCGCCAUCUCCAUGCAUAUUGUUACAUAAUUGGUACCACCUAAUGAUAUCUGACAAAGGAUUAUAGCGGCGAUGAGGGAGAGAUUCAUAGCUAGCAUGUCGAAAAAAACAUAAGCUCUCAUCAGAUUUUUUGAACUACCACUGCUAAGAUCACGACCUGAUCCAGGCACAGUGAUAGCACCAGCGAAGGUUACUCCAACUACCAGUACUGCCACCACGAGAAGAUUCCCUACCCCUCUGUUCAGUUGCUCCGUCGUUAACGUCGUUCUUGGUAAAUCAAAGAUAGGACUGAUGCAAGGCUCAGGCAUAUCAUCUGCCUCCUCCAAAACUUUAAAUACCUUACGCUGAACAACAAAGUGUUUAUUAGAAAAUAUAUGGUAAACAAAUUAAUUAUAUAAAGCAUCAUGACAAUGCUAGCUUAAUGUCCCAUAAUAACGAAGAAGGAAUUCAUCGCUAUAUAUUUAGUAGAUCAGCGAGGCAUUCCAUAUUUUUGAGCAAGUAAAGAACUUUAUUUCCACUUUGGAUUAAUCAAAUUUAAGGUAAUUGAAAGAAAUCUAUCAUUCCCUUUUCUAUAAAGUUGCAACAUGGACAGAAUGUGGAUGUGAAAGUUUUUGCUAUACUAGAAUGUAUUUACUUCAAUCACCUGAUUAGCUUCUUACGUGGACCAAAGCAACUAGAAUAUAAUUUGACUUGGAUGCGAAUGGUUCUUUAAAUGGCUAACCAAAACCCUCUGGUAUUGAUGAAUAUAACAGAAUUAAAUGUGACUGAGGUUUUGACAAUUAAAAAAUCUUUUUAAAUGAGUAUUGAUUGUUCCUAUGCAAUUACUAGAAGCUGGAUUGUGGAGUAUAAUGCCAUUACUAGAAGCUUAUUGGCUAUAAGAGAUAAUUAAUGAAGUUAUCUUUAUUGGCAUAUGGAAAAAACUAGAGAGUAUUUAUGC